RNAcentral lists this long non-coding RNA (48602 nucleotides) under Triticum aestivum (bread wheat). RNAcentral describes it as "long non-coding RNA (TAES_LNC011157)". The stretch from base 15732 to 15866 matches the Rfam family "MIR1120/MIR1122 microRNA precursor family". Lineage: Eukaryota; Viridiplantae; Streptophyta; Magnoliopsida; Poales; Poaceae. The record is from RNAcentral.
CAGUGCAAAAAAUCAAGCUAUCUUAACCAUUAAUUUUGCUCCAGUAAAACUCUUUAAAGAAAACUAGAUCAAUCUGAACAGCAGGAUGAUUUUUUCCUAGUGGCAACGGGGUUAGAUAUAUCCAUCCUAUCUGAACCUAACAUCCAAUCCAUUUGUCUCCAUACAAAUAUAAAGCAGAGAUCUACAAGCAUGCACACUUUGCUAAGUGUUUCAUUUUUUCCCCUCUUGCGUCCGUUAAGUUCUUCUCUAUUUGGAUCAUGACGUUCAACAAAAGAGAGUCAACGUACCUCAGUUCAAGUCACUAAGCAGGAAAAAAAUAACAACAGCAGCCAAGAUCUGCUGAUGCUCUGUAGAGUGCAGACACAACAGGACAGAGGCGCACUGUAUAUAUAUCCAUGGCCUUCUCAUUUACAGAGAUCUUCUCUAAGGUAUGACAACAUUAACAAAUAGGGGUUCAGGAAUCAAAUUAUCAGUUUCAUAGGGAGUUAGCAUUUAGCAACAGGCGUACUACAGAAAACAACCAACACCAUCUUAGGAAAAGAACAUCGAAACAGGAAGUACUACUAGCUUACAUGUAGGGUGAUAACUUUGUUGUGCCAUACAUUGUAAUCAAUUUCCAUAGCCCCUUUUUGUUCAUGUAAAUCUGAAAUUAGUUGGCACUUCCCCUUUGCAAGCUGUUGCAUAGUUUUCAGCAAGGUGUGAGGGCAUAUGAACUUCUCCACAAAUACCUUCUCGCUCAGCAUGACUAUGCUAUAGUAGUCCCGGUACUGACCUAACAAUCCAUUUGCCUUAAGGAACUUGAUAACAUAGUACCUGGGUCUGAGUCGGCCCUCCAUGCUAUAAGAGAGCAAUGCCGGACGAUGUGCAACUUACGCUGGUUCCAGCCCCACCUCAGAGAGGAGGAACUCAGACUUUUGCUGCAGUGUUGCAUUUGACUUCCUCAGCAGAUUCGGAGCCUUACAGACAGCAAUGCUCACUUGGGCAUCAGACCACCUGAAGGUAUUCUUCAAGUAGUCCACUUUGGCGGCAAUCUUCUCCUCGCUGAGAAAUGCGACAGCCUGCAGUGCCUGCCUGAACAUCCCAGAGCCACGGGGCACGCCUAUACCUUGGGCACAUGCCACCAUGGCCCGAACACGCUCCGGGUUGGUGGUGAGCAUCCUCGGCACAGAGACGCACAGCUUGGCAAUAUCACAAUCACCUAGCCCGCAGUCCCUUAGGAACACGGCAUUGGGCUUGACCACCUUGUCGAGGUCGGCCGACAGAAGGUGGGUUUCGCGCUUGAGCAUCCGGAGUAAGUUGUCCAAUGAGCCGAAGAGGGGCAGGUAGUACUGCACCUUGGAGACGACGGAUCUGCAGCGGAAGGCACUGUGAACAAGCGAGACGAGGCCGCCAAUCUCGGAACGCGACAGGCGGAGGCCGGUGAGCCCGUCGACGACGGGGAGCAGGGUUCUCUCCACGCCGGCGCAGAGGAAAAGCGGGUCUUUGGCGACGACGGCGGCGACAUCGGCGCGGGAGAGGCCGAGGCCGGAGAGGAAGGAGAGGACGGCGUUGGGGUUGGCGGGGGACUUGAGGUGGGAGAGCUUGGUGGAGGCCUUGAGCGCCUGGGGCCGGGUGAGGCCGCAGGUGUCAACGAGGUAGUCCUCGACGGCGAAUCCACCGGGGUUUGGAGAAAUGGCGGCCGCGGCAGCGGAGAGGAGGCGACGGAGUGCGGAUGUGGCAGGGGCGGAGGGUGAAGAGAGGAGAUGGGAAACGAUGGAUUCUCGCACGCGGAGCAUGCCGGCGGCGGCGGCGGCGGCGCGGUGGCGACGGAGAUAUUUUUGUGUGUCGUCCUCUCAGUCAGGAAGGGGAAAAUGUGGCUGCCUAUGAGAAUGGGCUGUAAUUUUUGGUUGGUUAUCAUGCGCGGGUGGGCUCUAAUUUGGUGCCAACUUUGGGCCUUGCAGCUCCGUCUGUUAGGGGUUGAGAACCAAGAAGACAUAAGAGAGUUUUCAAUUACUCCCUCCGUCUCGUAAUAUUAUAUUUAAUAUGUAAACAAUUACAUCCAAUAUACUCACAUAUUGAAUGUAGUAAUGUCUUAUAUUAUAGAACGGAGGGAGUACCUUUUUAUUCUUUACCGAGUACGAAAUAAUCAACUACGAAGGUGUUUGGAUUAGAGAGUGGCAACGCAAAGGGAGUUAGAUCACACUCGUAUUAGGGAUUUAACGUCAUACUCUGUUUUUGUUUGGUACAUGUGUUAGUAAAGGAAUCCAGCUAUGACCGAAGCACUGCUGCUGCGACGGCGGCGACGACGAUCGACANNNNNNNNNNNNNNNNNNNNNNNNNNNNNNNNNNNNNNNNNNNNNNNNNNNNNNNNNNNNNNNNNNNNNNNNNNNNNNNNNNNNNNNNNNNNNNNNNNNNNNNNNNNNNNNNNNNNNNNNNNNNNNNNNNNNNNNNNNNNNNNNNNNNNNNNNNNNNNNNNNNNNNNNNNNNNNNNNNNNNNNNNNNNNNNNNNNNNNNNNNNNNNNNNNNNNNNNNNNNNNNNNNNNNNNNNNNNNNNNNNNNNNNNNNNNNNNNNNNNNNNNNNNNNNNNNNNNNNNNNNNNNNNNNNNNNNNNNNNNNNNNNNNNNNNNNNNNNNNNNNNNNNNNNNNNNNNNNNNNNNNNNNNNNNNNNNNNNNNNNNNNNNNNNNNNNNNNNNNNNGUGGGUUUCUAAAUAAAAGGAAUUUAAAGAAGUCAUGGAUUUGAAAAAAAAAUCACCAACAUGAAAAACAGUUCAUGAAUUUGAAAAAAAAGUUCACCAAUUGGAGAAAAUCUUCAUGAAGGUUGGAAAAAUUAGCUACUUUGAAAAAUGUUCACAAAUUUGAAAAAAGUUCUGGAAAUAUAAAAAAAUCAGAAUUUAAGAAGAUGUUCACAUGUUUGAAAAAAUCAUAAUUUAUGUAAAGUUUAUGAAUUUGAAAAAAGAUUGCAGAUUUGAAAUUGUUCAUGAAAAAUUAAAAAUAAGCUCAUGAUUUUGAUAACUGUUCGUGAUUUCCGAAAAUGUUCAGAAAAGAAAAUUUAAAAAGCUAAUGAAAUAAUUUAAAAGGAGAAAAUAAAAAGAAGAAAACAAACUAAAAAUAAAAAAUGAAAACCCAACAAAACCGAACACAAAAUAUGGUAAUAUAGAAAAACCAAUCAAAAAAUUGGUCAGAGGAGUGGUAUUUUGCCACAACCCACUUAGAUCUAGUGAAAGGGGGGCGCGCUAUAUGGCUUUGCCUCAAUUUGGGGCUAAUAGGAUUUGCCGAUUUGGUGAGCCUAUAGCUUUAUGACUCAAUGGGGUUUAUUUAGCUACCUUGAAUGGUUCUAAAAAAGGCUUUCUUGAAUUAAUGAGUUUAUUUAUGCCCAUAUGGACUUUUUUUAGUAAAGUGCCAUACGACGCAUUUUAAUGAUUCAAAUAAUAGUUACAUCAUUGAAAAUAUCCAGUCGCAAAAAUCUAGGGGGUGGUCAUUGUCCCAAUACAAGUUUGCAUUAGAAUCGCACGAAUACCUAGACAGUUUGUGCACCACUGUAUUUGCCUCCCGGGACAAUGAACAAAAGAAGUCAAACCAAUUUUUAAAGCUUACGAAAAAAAUGUCUAUCAAGAUGGCCUUACACGGGUUCCAAAUCUCCAGACAACCAUUGCAAGCUUGGAUCAGUUCGAGGGAAUCACAUUCAACUAUGAUAUCCGUGCAUCCAAGAUUCUCAACUAGUCCCAAACCCUUUUGUACCUCCAUUGCUUAAGAAGUUGCAAAAGACAUUGCAAGAUUGCUCCAGAAUGAACUAAUCAAUAGAAGUUUGAUUCAGCCUGAGAAAACACAUUAUGGGGAGGUACUUGCUUGUAGAGUACAUGAUAUAAUGCUCGAUUUGAUUCUAAGAAAGUGUGCAUAAGACAAUUUUACCAUUGUAGCAUAUGACUAUGAAGAUAUGGCAAGAUUGCACAGCUGUGAGCACAAGGUUCUUCAAAUAUCCUUGAAUCAAGUGUUGAUGGUGCACAUCAGACAACCUUGAUACUAGCAUGUCACAGGUUCAAUCAUAUCACUACAAAAAAAAUACACUUCCGUGAUGAUACGUGUUUGUCACAAUAGGUCGCGUUUUUUGUCAUGCAUGUACAUCCAUGAUGAUUUUAUGACAGAAUCAAUAUAGUCAUACAUGUGCUGUCGUAGAAGUGAUCCAUGACAUUACCAAAAUUAUCAUCAUGGAAGUGUCCACUUCCAUGACGAUAAAUCGUGCGUGACAGAAGUGCUUUCGUCAAGGGUGACCGACACGUGGCAUCCACCGUAAUGGAACGCAGUAAAGCUAUCGAGUCCGGUUUUGGAUCUGAUAACCCGUUAACAGCCCGGACCAAUGGGGAUUUUCCACGUGUAAAAUCAUCAUUGGUCGCAGGAAACACGUGUUGCCUCACCGUUGGGACAGAUGUCAUCCGCUCAUUGGACAGAAGGCGCCUAUGAUAGGUCGACACAUGGCACGACCCAACAGUGGCUCAUUCCGGUGAAAAAGACCGUCCCAGUAAAAAUUAGCAGGCCGACCCAUAUAAGUCCUACUUGUGUCAGGUCCAUUUAAGCCCACGGCCCAUACGAGAUGUGCCAGUUCGGCCUGUCAAUGACCCAUUAAAGAUUGACACUAUUGCAGCCCAUCGUCAGUUCGAGCCCGUUAACAGCCCGCUAUAUAUUUGGGCUCAAUAUCGGCCCGAUGAGAUUUCGGCCUGUUAACGGCCCAUUCAAUGAAUGGGCCAAUUUUCAAGAUGUACAUCUUUCGGCCUUUUAGCGGCCCAUUUAAAUGUUGGGCUAAUUUCUGGCCCGGUGUGUCUUUCAGCCUGUUGACGGCCCAUAAAUCAGAUGGGUCAUUUGUAGUCGGACCUGAGUUUCGGCCUUUUAGCAGCCCAUUUAAGUGUUGGGCCGAUUUUCGGUCCGGUGUCUCUUUCAGCCUGUUGACGGCCCAUACAUCAGUUGGGCCAUUUGUAGUCGGACAUGAGUUUUGGCCUUUUAGCGACCCAUUUAAGUGUUGGGCCAAUUCCCGGCCCUGUGUGUCUUUCGGCCUGUUAACGGACCAUAAAUGAGUUGGGCCAUUUGUAGUCGGACCUUAGUUUUGGCCUUUUAACGGCCCAUGCCCUUCAUGGUCCAAUACCAGCCUGGUUUCCCUUUCAUCCUACUAAAGGCCCACAACACAGUUGGGCCAUUUACAAUAUGACCUGACUUUCGGCCUCUUAGCGGCCCAUGCUUUUCAUGGUCCAGUACAAGCCCGCUGUCUCUUUCGGCCUGCUAAAGGCCUACAGUAUAGUUGGGUCAUAUGUAGCCCAAACUUAGUAAUGGCCUAUUAACGGCCCGUGAAAUCAAUUGGGCCCACCUAUUGCCCGCUUCGAUGUCGGCCUGUUAACGACCCGGAAGGUAAGAGGGCCGACCAUUAACUUUCCACCUAGUAACGACCCAUUAACUUAAUGGGCCCACUAAAGUUCGUACAUGUCUUUAGGCCAAAUUAGAUAAUUUGAGCCCAUUAUGACGAGCAAUUAUGCACAGGACCAAAAUCGAUCAAGAAAAGGUACGACAUACAGGGAAUAAUGUUGCACAUCCAGCAUAUAUUAUAGGAAAUUACAUCCACUAGGCAAUCAAAGAUUGAUGCCAGUGCAAAUAAUUAAUGAGCAGAACCUAACCAUCUACAACGUCACAAUCUGCAACCUCAGCACAGAUGACGCCCAUAAGCAUGUGGGCAAGUUCUUGCUGCUUUGCUACACUGUCUCUGAAAACAUUGAUCAGUUGUUGUGUCGCACGACUCUGCGCCUUUGAUUCAUCCACCAUUUCCAUCAUUGCUUCAGCCAUUAAUUGGUUCACAAACAUACAUUUAUUCCGUUGCAUUCGAGACAAAGGAUACUGAACAGAUUCAGAUGGCGAUUUUGGCAAGCUUGUAUUAUUGAUAGCGAAGAGUGUCUCGACCACUGCAUCACAAUAUAAAUUAGGAGGGAAACCAAACAGAUUAAUCAUGAGUUAUUGCCAUAUUACCUGGCCUAGAGUUAUUGGAAAGAAACAAUGUGGUUGCCGUGCUGUUUUCAGAGUUUGUCUUCUUAUCUUCAGUAGCAUGCACCAAAUUAACACACUAGCAUUGCUAUCAUUGGCCAAAUCAGAUAAUAGGAAAGCAACAUUGACACAACAAACGUUUGGGAAACUAGACUACACCAAAUUAACACAAUAUGGCACAGCUAUCAUCAGCCAGGUAAGGUAAUACGAAAGCAACAUUGACACAAUGAAUGAAUGGGCAACCAGAGAAACACUACAAUUCAGUAAUGUGCAUGAUAUGAGAUAGUACACUCAUGCAACUCAGUAUGCAAAACUACCAGGCAGUUUUCCUUACAAAAAUCAACAUUGGCGCCUUUAACAUUUUGCUACAACUAAUUUUAGAUCAAAUAAAGGUUAGAUUCACGUCGAUUAACAAAAUACAUGCUGAUGUAAAAAUAUAGUGAUAUACAACAGGUACUUACAUCAGCAUUGGAGCAUAGAGAAUUCCCGCAAGAUAUUUUUCCUCGAAUACGAUCCCAAUGGAGGAAGUCUUCUAUCGUUUAACCUUAUUUUCUAAAAAAGAGAUGUGUAAGAAACAUGUAGAAAAUAUGAUCAGAAUGCUAUAAAAUUUCAUGAUGCGAGGAUACGCACACGUGCUUCUUAGAAUGGAGUUGACAUUCUUUUGCUGGACUGGAGUGGACUAGUUCUUUGGCUAAUGGAAUCUGCUUAUUAUUAGUGGGAGUUGGGUUUCUCUGUGCUGGAGCAGUAUCUAUGAAAAAUGGAGUUGGUUUAUUAUCUCCUGGCGUUUGGAUCUUUUGCAAAUACCUGGUUUAUAACCCUUCAGAUUCUAACAUAGCCGUCUUCCCCUUACAUGCCUUAUAUAGAAGAAUGGUGCUUCAGUUAUAAAACAUGCUACAUCAGAGAUGGAAUAGGUACUGAAGAAUAGAAAGGCAUGAAAUAUUGACAUGUAUUUCCUCCAUCCUGAAAUAAAUGGAUGGGUCUAGGCGUAUUUCAGUUCUAGAUACAUCCAGUUUUAUCCAUUUCUGUGAUAUGUAAUCCAGACGGAGGGAGUAUGAUGUAAGAGCUAGGGAUAUGACAGGACAACACAGUAAAAAGAACACUGAAAACCCACUGCAGAACCAAAGUAUUCAAACCCACCGAUAUGAGAUAGUACACUCAUCCAUCUCAGGAUGCAAAACUACCAGGCAGUUUUCCUUACAAAAAUCAACAUUGUGGCCUUUAAUCAUACAUUUUACUACAACUAAAUUUAGAUCAGAUAAAUGUUGGAUUCACGCCAAUUAACAAAAUACAUGCUGAUGUAAAAAUACAGUGAUAUACAACAGGUACUUACAUCUGCAUUGGAGCACAGAGAAUUCCCGCAAGAAUCUUUCCUCACAUACAAUACCAGUGCAGAAAUUCUUCUAUCUGUUAAGCUUAUUUUCUAUAAGAGAGAUGGGUAAGAAACAUGUAGAAAAUAUGAUCAGUAUGGUAUAAAAUUUUAUGAUGCAAGGAUACGCACACGCUUCUUAGAAUGGAGUUCACAUAUUUUUGCUGGAUUGGAGCGGACUAGUUCUUUGGCCAUUGGAAUCUGCUUAUUAUAGUAGGAGUUGGGUUUCUCUGUGCUGGAGCAAUAUCUAUAAAAACUGGAGUUGGUUUAUUAUCUCCUGAAGUUUGGAUCUUUUGCAAAGGCCUUGUUUGUAACCCUUCAGAUUCUAACAUAGUCGUCUUCCCCUUGCAUGCCUUGUAUAGAAGAAUGGUGCUUUAAUUAUAAAACAUGCUACAUUAGAGAGAUGGAAUAGGUACUAAAGAAUAGAAAGACAUGACAUAUUGACAUGUAUUCCCUCCAUCCGGAAAAAAAUGGAUGGGUCUAGGUGUAUUUCAGUUCUAGAUACAUCCUUUUUUAUCCAUUUCGGCCACAUGUAAUCCGGACAGAGGGAAUAUGGUGUAAGUGCUAGGGAUACGACAGGACAACACAGCAAAAAACACUAGUUGAAUGUAAAACUAUAUGCUAGCAGAAUACGUAUAGAAAAAAUUAAGGCAACAUACACGUGUAUGAUUGGGAAAAUAAGAUGACAUUGCAACAGAGCACUAGAACAACACUUCAAUGUAAAAAAACAUGGUAUGGUAGACAGAUGAAGUACAUACUGAUGAAUAACAAUGCAUAAGAUAUUCAGAAGCAUGAUGUCCAAAUUAAGCAGAUGGCAUUGCGAUAGAGUAGAAUGACAAUACUUGAAUUUGAAAACAUGUUAUCAUGAAUGGAAUAGGUACUGAAAAAUAGGAAGGCAUGACAUAUUUACAUGCAUGAUCAGCAUGCUAAGCACAUGGCAUUGCAACAGAGUAGAUACACUCAGGACAUUAUAUGCAUGUUGUACCCAUAUCACAGGCCAAGUUAGAGCAAGGACCUUGUGGGGUGAAGAGGAUUCAUCAUCUUUCUGCAAGUCUUUUGAAGAACUGCCUUUACAUGUUCCAUCAUAUUGGGUAUCAUUAACAUCAAGUUUAUUGGCCUUUACAUUGCUCCGUGAGGUUCUUGUGGAUAUAUCGGCGUGUGCAAUUAUAUCUGACAUGCAUGGAAGACAACUAGUAGUUAGAUUUAUGUAAUGAGGGCAUGUAGGAGACGACAUAAAUAGUAGGACUGGGGUUAACUAGCAGCAACAGGUCUCAUAAACUAAAGGGAGAACGCAGAUGAAAGCUAUAUAAUAUGUAUCGUUUGUACUCGAGAUUAACAGAUGGCACACAAAAGUAUUAAAGAACAACAUAGGUAAUACUAGAAGUGGUAUAAUACUAUAAUCACCAGCCUGUGGGAUAGCAUUGGCUGAUGGAUGAUAACUAUGGAACAACAUUACCUAAAGAACAAGUAUCUUAGCUAAACUAUGGAACAAUGUUAACUCCUGAACAAGACCUGUAAGAGAUCAACAUGAAUAUACAGUGAAAUGUGAUAAUCUAUUUUCCAUGCUUAGAUGAAUAACAAAGCCAUAAAUGUUGCACACAAGUAAGAUGAGGGUACAACCUAUCUGGCCGCCAUCGAUAGGAGUGAGCAUCAUGUGCUGACUUGUCGAUGGCCCUACAGUUGUUGUGGCUUUUCAUGUCGGGCACACGCAUUCGAUGCAGGGAACUGUUGAGUGGGGACUAGAGCUCCCUUCUGGUGUAUGCUUCCCUUGUUGGAGCAGCUGCGGUGAGUCGGAAGACGGUGUGUCUGAAGAUGCAGAUAACACAUAAUGUUAAGAACGACAUAUCUCUUUGAUCUGAAGAAAUACACUAAGAGAUCAACAGCAAGGUACGAGAGUGGUCACACGUCUGUUGACUGAAGACUAAAUUGGGGUCACAUGAUUUUAUUUUAUUUUGGUACUGUCUGAUCUACGCCGGAUGGCUUGAUGGCCGUCUUGUGCCUCCCGGCUGACACUGUUCGAGAAUCUUCCCCGAAGAGCCAGCGACCAAUGGCAGAGCAGCCUGCCUCCGCCGUCCGUGGCCCCGACCAAUACCCCGCUCCCCGCCGCACUGCAUUGUCGUGGUUGCGCCGCCCCCGGGCCAAUCCACAAAGACUCCCCGUCAUCCAUAUCCGGCGGUGGCAGUACCUUCAACCCACGCAACUCUAAGAUAGCCAUCUAAGCGCUGCUUCCGCGGUAAACUUGCGGCCCCGCACCCUUACGUUAGACACCAGCCAACUGGCAGCCUAGGAGCUCCGCCGCCUCGAGGGGUGCUGCUUCCCAUUGGGAAUCGAUUGGCCCAGAAUAAAAAUUCAGACAACUGACGCCUAAAAAAGUGAUUUGAGAUGAGGGUGCGACCUAUCUGGCGGCAUGGUGAAGUAGGCAGGUCCAGCUGCCGAGUCGGUGAGGCUGGCGCGGUUGCGGUGGCGACCGACAAUAGGGAAAUAGUGAUGUCGCGACGGUCGACGGCUACGAGGAAGCAGCGCCGGGACUCUGGACGGAUCCAAAUUUGGAGCCGCUCCGGCGCCGUGAACAACGGCGGGGGUGAAUCGGCUCCGGUACGGUUCACGCGGCCGUCGUCGAGGCAGCUCCAGCAGCACGGAGUAAGAGGCACACAACCCAGUGCACGACGACAAAUGGACAGCGUCUCCGGCAUUAGGGAGGAGGGCGGCUGUGAAAUUGGUGCGAUGGGGGCGCCAUGGAGGAGGGGCUGAGGUUUCGCGGCUCGGGAGAAGGGAGCUUCCCGGGGAGAAGGUGAUUUGGCGCCCACGAGGUAUGAAUGGGGGGGGAUUGGGAGGGGAGUGGAACCAUGUCUUACGGACGCAUUUGCCUGAAAUGUGAGGGGGAGUUACAGUUCUACCCCUGCCUUUAGGCUUCUCGGCUUGGGUCUGUGUACUAAGGAUCGGGGAUAGUAGAGUAACUUUGCUUCUCCCCAAUUAGUGGGCGGGAGCGAUUUCGGGCGAGGAGGGCGUGUUUUGAAAUAUAGUGGGUGCGAGCGAUUUCGGGCGAGGAGAGCGUGUUUUGAAAUAGUGGGCGCGAGCUAUUUCGGGCGAGGAGAACGUGUUUUGCCGACCAUGGUUUAUGAAUUAUUCGGCACAUGUCAUUUCGGCCGAGGAGAAGGCGCGCUUGGAUGAAGUUACGAACCUACCCUCGAUGUACAACGGGCCAAUUGGUGUGUGUCCCACAUAGGACGGUAAUUUCACGUCUCCCAUUUAUUUGCUCGGGCGAAUUCCACCGAGCAGAGGAUGUUUAACGGUUCGUUCAAAUUUUGGGAGAACGAGCAUCCACGUCUACCUACCAAGUCGAUUUGAAUCAAAUUUUAAAAUAUUAGCUUGCCACUUCUUUUUUAGAUGGAGAGAUGAUGCUCGGGAGUAAUGUGUUUUUACAUGCUCGUUGCUAGCGAUUUACUAUGUGACAAAUAGUUGACCCACUCAAAAACGCGAAUCAAACCCAAAAUGAAAUAUCUCGAUUCAAUGAAAUAGCUCAUUCACUAGGUCAAAAUAGUGAACUAAAUCCAAAAUUGAACACCUCAAUUGAGUAGCAUGUUGUACAGUAUUAUAGUACUCCAUGAACAUGUUGAAAGUCAAACUAAUGAACUUGUUUGAUAUACGCAUAUAUCCGUUCAUGUGUGGAUUGCAGACAACAUGUUCUCCAAUUUAAAUAUUUAAAUGCAAGUUUAUAUCGAAACAUGGUUUAUAUCAGUCUUUGAUGCAUAAAACGCGACCUGCCCCUCUCCCGGAAUCCUGUUCUCUCUCUCUCUCUCUAUCUCUCUCUCUCUCUCUCCGGCAAUCUUCAUUUCUGUCGCACGCAUCUGACACAAAAACCUUGUUGGUCCCUCUCCCUUUCUCUCCAUCUCUCUCUUUCUUUGUGUGUGUGUGUGGGGGGGGUCUUUCUAGUUCACAUGCAUAUAUACUCCAUAUAUAGGUCUCUCUCGCACACUAUGUAUGAUACUCUAGCUAGUCCAAGCUAGAUAUCUUGGGUGCACUCAUCGUACGCACACAAAUUCCUUGGAUCGUUGCCGGUAACUCUCUCACGCACCACUCUGUCGUCUCGGAGCUCUUCCCCCUCUCUCUCAAACUCUCCAUCUACCUGGGUCACACAUACACAUGCAUAUCUCACUCGCACUCGAUAGACCCAUCUAAAACCCUAUCUCUCUCCCUCGUUCUCUCUCCAUCUCACACGCACACACACACACAAUCUUAUGCCUAACUAGCCAAGUAUGAUGGUCUCUCACUCAAUUGUAGGCACACGCAGUUCCCCUAUAUGUAUAUCACUAGCUAAUCUUAGUCUCCAUCACAAACAUGUGCAUUUUAUCGCGCACGCACCUCCCUCAAUCUCUCACCCAUAUAGUCCCCUCGCGAUCUCGAGGGGAUCUCUCUAUCACAAACACACACUCUCUCCCUCCCCAUGCAUCCAUGUCCUCCAUGUGUCCCUCUCGACCUUUGUUCCUUGUUGUCCAGACCUCUUUUGGACAUGUGCUACAGGGGUGUCUCUCUCCAUUGCAAACAAUCACACACUAGCUAUCUUCGUGUAUCUCCUCGCCUCGCUUUUCUAUCUCGAAGAUGCAUGCGUGAUAUGUUCACAUAAGAAACGAAAGAACACACCCUCUCUAAUUUAUUAUUUGUUGUCACUUUCUCUUUCACACACAUACUCUUUUUGCACACUUACUCAUUCUCCUUCACACGCACUUCAUCUGUCUCGACUUAGGCACUCUCCUCGGUCCAUAGCAUAUAGAUUUAUUAAAAAGUCAAACAUCACAAAGUUUGACCAUGUACGUGGAGAAAAACAAUUACAUCUAGAAUGGCAAACAUAUACCAUUAGAUUCACCAUGAGAUGUAGUUUUGUAUGAUGUAUCUUUGGUAUUGUAGAUAUAAAUAACAUUUGCGUAAACCUGAUAAAAGUUUCCAAAGUUCGACUUCUAAAAAAAUUUUACGUGCACUGCAUUAUUGAGCGGAUGGAAUAUCUCUUUCCCCCUCUCAGCUAUCUGACGCACCACUCAGCCUUAUCAGGGCUCCUCAAUCUCUCUCAAAAUUUAUUGGUCAGUUUGGUUCGUGACCUGACCCUCAUGCCUUGAUGGCCAGUACUGCCUAGUGUGGACAUGAGAUGUAAAAUAUUUCUGCCUGGCCAGGCUUGUGUGGUGCUAAAGCGUUUGGUUCAUACCUGGGCUAGGCAAAGCAUCAACGUCUCAUCAAUCAAUCCAUGCAGCAAUUAUUUAAUGCUAAUAUCCAUCCAUGUUGCUGUUAGCCUCAUGGCCGCAUGACCAGGCAUGGCCAGGCGUUCGAAAUUGGUCGCCCGGGCCAGGCUACUUGCAGUGUCUGGAGUCCAUCCAGGCAAAUUAAAGUGCCUAGGAAUCCAGGCCAGGCGGGCUUUCUUUUUCACAGGGUAGCAACCAAACAAGCGUGCAUGAAAUCCAGCCACAACCCCAGGCCAGGCAAAAGAUGCUCAGGACGCAAGCCAAACUGACCUUAUAUCUCCCUGGUUCACACAUACACAUGUCCCGCUCGCGCUAUACAUAUAGACCCAUCCAACACUCUCCGCCCUUGUUCUCUCUCCAUGUGACACGCACCCCCCUAAGUACCAUAAUCCCUCACUCCAUCAUAGGCGCAAGCACUCCCCCCUCCUAAGUAUGAUUAUCUCUUACUAGCCAUCAGGAACACACGUAUUGUCUCCUUCCAUCAAUACGUCUAUCUUGAUAUCUCUCGGGGCAUCUUCUAUCGCGCACACACCUUGUCACUCGGUCUCCCACCCAUGUAGUCCCAUCACGAUCUCCAGGGGAUCUCUUUAUGACAAACAUACACUCUCUCCUCCCCAUGUCUGCAUUUUCUCCGUACGUCUCUCUCGACCUAUCUCCCUUGUUUGUCAGACCCCUCUUGGCCACGUGCUAGGGGUCUUGCUCUCUCGGUUCCAAACAACCACACACUAUCUCCUCACCUUGCCUCCAUUGUCGAAGAUGCAUGUGUAUAUGUUUGCAUAAGACACACACGCUUUUUCUCUACUUUUAUCAUGUGUUGUCCAUGUCUCUUUCACACACACACACUUUUUCACUCACUCUUUCUAUUUCUCUCUCUCUCUCUCUCUCUAGUUAGGGACUCUGUCACGUCCAUAAGCAUAUGGAUGUUUUGAAAAGUCAAACCUCAGAAAAGUUUGACCAGGUAUAUGUGGAGAAAAACAUUUACAUCUAGAAUGAUCAUUAGAUUCAUCUCAACAUGUACUUACUUCAUACUAUCAUUUAUCUUUGGUAUUGUAGAUAUAAGUAAUUUCUUUAUAAACUUGGUCAAUGUUUCAAAAGUUUGACUUUAAAAAAAUGUUGGAACUACAUUAUCGAACGGUGGGAGUAGCUCUUUCUCUCUCUCUCUCUGCUAUCUCUCACGGGCCUCCCCUCUCACUCGAACUCUCUAUACCGACGGGUUAUACGCUCACUGUGUCAGCGUAUAGCUCCGUAUAUUGUUUACUUGACCGGUCAACCAGUCCACAUGCUGCCUUGUCAGCUCGUGUUCUGUAUCUUCGUGUGCUGUCCCAUGUGGCAGUGGGUGAAAAUAAGUAAACUAGAGGCCCAUCUGACACACGGUGAAGUAAACAAAGUUGAAACCACUCGGGGUAGCACCCCGCAUGCUAGUAAAUUGAGGGCGCAUUAAGGACACACUUCUUGCGCGUGAAGGACGCAGUCGUGCACAAUUCACCACUGCGCGGCGGCAUGCACAGAAGGACGCACUCGUGCACACCCAGCACAUAACACACACCAGCAUACGUGUACACCGGCGUCGCCGCCGGUUGAGAUGGACGGCAAGGCAGCCAACAAGCAGAGGCGGCUCGAGCCAAAACCGCAUCCGGCGAGCCUGGAUUUCAUCAGCAGCCUCCCCGACGACAUGCUGCUUGUCAUCAUCGGCCUCCUCCCCACCAAAUCUGCCGUGCAGACCGCCCUGCUCUCCCAGCGGUGGCGCCCCCUCUGGCGCCGCGUCCCCCUCAACCUCACCGUCGAUAGCUGCCUCUGCGACGGGGAUUGCAAAUGCAUGGCCGCAGUCUCCAAGAUCCUUUCAUCGCACCCUGGGCCAGCCAGGCGCCUUGACAUCCACAUGUUCAGUACCAACUGCAAGGUCCAACCCAAGUUCGACGAGUGGUUCUUAUCCCUCGCCCUAGAUCAGCUCGAGUUGCUCAGCUUUGAAGCUGGACGACGUCGCUCUCUGCUGCCGUCUGCGCUCCGCCUCACGCCAAUGCUGCACCGCGCUAGCUUCAGCUCCUCCAGUCUUCCCCAAAUUAAUGUCGUGCCUGCCCUUCUUCUCCCUCAACUCAAGCAGCUCGACCUCUUUGACGUUGUCAUCUCGAAGAAGGCUAUGGAGCACCUGUUGCGCAGCUGUACUGUGCUCGAGUACCUUCAUCUUGAGUAGAUCCACGGGUUCAUUAGCCUCCACAUCGCCUCGACGAAUCUCCGAUGGAUUUAUGUGUCUUGCUGUCCCCGCAACAAGACAUCAAUUGGGAAGAGAUCACUCUAGCUGUUCCACGUUAUGGUCAUUGAGAAUGCGCCUUUCCUUGAGAGAUUGCUUGUAUCGGAUCUAGACGGUCCAACAAAAAUCAGGGCCAUUGACGCGCCGAAAUUGACAACGUUGGUGUACUCGUCUGCCAAAUUCUCUGAACUCUUUAUUGGAUCCGUAAUCGUUCAGGUACAACACUCAUCUUCUUCUCCGUCUUCUUGAAAUUCACAUUUUUAAAUUUCUUCUUGAUGUAUUUACGACCGUCUUCCAGAAAAUGAUUUCCACAAGCUUGACCCAGUCCAUGCGCACAAUGAUGAUCUUGGCACUAAAAUCUAUCGGCCCCAAUCUGGAUCAAGUUGUUGGAUUCCUUACAUGCUUUCUGUGCACGAAGAAGCUACUCAUCGAGGUGAAACUUCUUUCCUAUUAGUAAACGGUAAACGUAGCUCAAUUUUUUCAUAAUUUUCCCAAAUUACAAUGACAAGUGUAGUGUUCAAAACUGCAUCUACGCACUGCACCGAAAGAAAUGUUUUUAGUAUUUUUUUCUCACAUGAUCACAUGUGUCGUUUUUAUGCUGUACUACUAUAGUAGCCUAGGCUAGUCAUAGUGGAAAGUAACUUAGACUACUCCAGUAACUCUAUGGUUACCCUAAGAGCAAGUACUACCUCCGUCCUGGUUUACUCUUCCAAUUUUGUAGUAUCAAAAUUUGACCAUAGAUUUAACUGACAAAAUGUUAAUGCAUGUCACUAAGAACUAUAUCAUCGGAUUUGUAUUUGAACAUAAUUUCAAAUGGUGUAAUUUUUAGUGACAUGCAUUGACAUUUUCUUAGGUAAAUCUAUGGUCAAAAUUUUAUACUAAAUACGAGAUAGUAUUCCCUCCGUCCAAAAAUUCUUGUCUUACAUUUGUUUAGAUACAGAUGUAUCUAACACUAAAAUUUAACUAGAUACAUCCGUAUUUAGACAAAUUUAAGACAAGAAUUUUGGGACGGAGGGAGUACAAAAGUGGGCUAUGUAGGCCAAAACAUGUGCCAAAUUCACUUGUGAUGCAUUUGGCAUCGAUGCCCCUCCAUUGCUCACCUGGUGCCCCAAUCUGGAUCACCUACUUUGAUCUGGUGCCAAAUUAACUCACGCAAUGAAAAAACACUGUGUGGGAGAGAGAGAGGACUGAGGAAAUAAAAAACACUUGUUUGGGAGAGUGAGAGGCUGGUGUAGUUGGUUUGAUUGAUUUUUUUAUACAUGUGGGUCUGUGUGCACAGCGGUGCCAACUCUCUCACAUCGCGAGAGCGGUGCCAAAAUCUUUUGAUUUGACAUCGAUGCAUAUUAUGUGGCAUACUUUUGCGAAAUAUGGCAUCGGCCACAUAGUGGAAGGCAACAAAUGCCCAAACUCUUCACGUGCUCCUAGUUAAAUGAGAGGAAGCAGAAAGAGAGAGAGAGAGAGAGAGUGAAAAAAUAUCACUAGCCAGCCAACCCUAUCGUAUGAGCGAAUGAUAUUGGUACCUCUUGAUGACACGGCAAUCUUAUACAGCCAUCUGCUCUAAUAUGUUCUCUUCUUUUGCAGAUAAAAAAAGACCCAAAAGUGAAAAAUGUGUUGCACUAUAACAAUCUCAUCGAAUGCCUUGAUCUCCAUCUUACAGAAAUUGAUUUGAUCGACUACCGAAGUAGCACAUCUGAGAUUAAAUUGGCCAGGUUCUUUGCUCUGGAGGCAAGUGUGCGCAAGGUAAUGAGGUUUGGCGUUCUCUGGCGCAACAAUGAAUGACGUGCUGAUCACCGCAAGCGUUUAAGCCUAAAUGACAAAGUCUCCGCAGAAGAUGAUUUUUUUUUUUGAAACAUCAUGUGGCCAGAGACUCAAAAAUUUAUUUGCCCAUUAGUGACUUGUCAGGGCGGUGGAUUUUAGUUUGUACGAUAAUAGUGCAUCCACCUAAAGUAAUGAAAGUUCUUACGUAAACUUCCUAGUAAUUCCCUCUUCGUAGGUGCAUCAUUACUCCUAACAUUUGUAAUAUCGAUUUGAAACUUGUAAUAUUGCCAUGUCCUAUUCCCGCGUUUUCAAAAUCCUGCGAAUCAAUCAGGUCCUGAGUUGGUGAUGAUGUUGUGCCUCCCAUCUUUCACCAAUAGCCGUCGGAUCUAGAUCUGACGCAUACAAACCAAACUUCUCCAUUUUUGCAAAAAGAUGCCCGCACUUAUUCCCUAUUUAUAAACAACUCCUUGUCUCUCACAAUCAGCCGUAUCUCCUCCCCACCACAUUUAGAAGGCCGAGGAAAAAUCUGGCGCGAUGGCCACUGCCGGCGCCAUCCACCACCAAUCUUGGUGUUCCGUGCAAUGCACGGGCAUCUACGCAUGGGAAAAUAUGUCGAACAGGGCUAGUUGUAAGCAGGCUAGCUCUACAGCCAUGAUGAUAGUGACUGCAGACGGUGAGGCUGACUAUGGUAUGCCGAACCUGGCGCCUAUACUCAGGUGUCAUCUCCGGCGCAGGGUCUUGUCACUUCACUGUGAGGAGCAGCACGUAAUAAUUUGACCAACGGGUAGUACAAUGCUAGUGCUCCUACUACAUUGGUAGUACUACUACUUGUACUAGUAGAACCACCGUCUGGAUUUAGGAGUACUACCAUGUUCAUCUGGAUUUUAGUAUUUGACUAGCAAUAUCUAGUAAUGCAUGUCACAAAAAUGUACUACUCCCUUUGUAAAUAAAUACAUGGUGUAUUGUUUUAUUCCUAUCGGCGAGAGAACUUAAUGUCUUUUUGCUAACUAAUAGGAUUACAUGCAAUGAACUAAACACUGCAUGUCAUGUUUGGUAGUCUCAAGUCAUUGAAAGCAUGCACGACCCACAUCUCUCAUUGGUUGAUAUGUCACGAAAUAAGAAACGAGGAGGGAGUUAAUGUACCGUGCCUAAGUGUUUUGGGAUUAUUUGGUUUUCGUAAGGUGACUUACACAACAUUUUUGUUUACAUGCAUUAACAUUUUAUUAGUUAAAUCAAAGUUCAAAACUUGGCGCAAAAUGCAAAGGGGACCAAUAAACCAAUAAACAUCAAACUUCUCUCGUUUGGCCCCAACUAGAGGUCCGGUGAGAUGACUAUACUGCACCGGCACGGAGGGGGACGCAACUUCAUUGACUUACUGCAACUGCCUUUGGGUGAAUGACACGUGGGCCCAACGGGUGGCUGGCCCACCUAUCAUACCGCCAAAGGCAGGUGUAGUAGAGGGCCGAGGAGUAGUACGAAAUCCUACGCACCUACGCACACUAACCAAGGGCAAGAGUGAUCACUCGAAUCGCAAGAUCAGUUGACUAGAAGGUAAGCUAGACCCAUGGAGGCGAUGAGCGUGAGCAUCAGCCGGCUGUGCCAGAUGGUCCAUAACGCCGGCCUGCGGCCCGGCACCGAGGAAUGUCUCCAGGUAUUGCUUGAGGCCGCCAGGGCGAGGGGCCGCUUGGACGACAACUUCGUGUCCUUGUUCGACGAGGUCCUCGUCAGUUUCCUCGACAAGUUCACCGUUGUCAAGAAGCUCGCGGACGACUUUGACGUAUGCCUCCAGCCGACGCGCCCAGGCUCUAUGAUGCCCGCCACCCUCAACGGCCACUAUGGUGACAACCUCUUCGACACACUGGUGGCCCUGCGACUGCCCGCCGUCGCGCCAGAGAAUGUCCACCUCAAGGUCGCGCUCGCCACGCAGCGCCUGGCGCAGCAAGACACCAUCGACAUAAUCACCCACGUCUAUGCGCAAAUCGUCCACAAGGACUACUACAUGCAAGAGGAUGACAAUAGGACGCUGGCCUUCUUGGACCGCAGGGCAACCUUGGACGGCAUUGUCCAGAAGCACGUUGAGCUCGCCGCCAAUGCCGCUGCUCCUCACACGUCGGUUGGUGACCCGGCGCACUAGGGCGUGAGGAUGUCGUUGAUGGAUCCGUAUGUAUUUUUAUCUUUCCGUCAAAUCCAUGUAGUAGUAUAUGGUACUACUAGUAAUUAUCUUACCUUUCGCAUCAACUUCAUAAUUUUCAUAUGUACUCCAUGCAUGAACGGAGCCAGAACCAAACUUCUCAUUACUCUAGGCAAAAUCGUUACUUUCUAUCUAUCGGUCGCGCCAUGGAGCAGAACCAAAAUUUACAAGUUACGAGUUCAAAAGGAAAAGCCUGUCGUGUUCGCAUCGCACCCCCACACGGUUGGUCCGGCAUGCCGCUCAAGGGGGAAUGCGUGCGGUGUUGCAUUUUCACUUACAAGUGGGACCGCAGUUGAGCAAACCGACUAUCGGCAAACCCCCACCCUGCCCACCGCGCGAUGGCUGAGAAAACAGGAGGGAUAAGAGAUGGUUGUAGCACGGACUCCAAGAAAAUUGGUGUCGGAUGAGACUCGUGUGGGUGGCGUGUGCCGUACUGCUAGACAUGAAUGCUAGUUAUGGCCCAUGCACCCCACUAUAUCGAGCCUAUAUUGAGGUGCUGGUUACGUAGAACAAAUUUCCUGGAGUCCAUGCUCAGCCCUCCUCUAUCUCUCCUCUCAGCCAGCCAGCGGACGCGCGGAGCCCAUCGUCUGUUUGCUCACAUGCGGUCCCACAUGUCAGUGAAAACGCAAGAGGACCCACUGAACCUGCACAUCUUUCACCUCGACGUGCUGGUGAUGAAAAACAAAUCCAAUAAAGAUCUUCGGUGGCCCCUUUUGGAGUUACUCAAGAGUAGUAAGAUUCUAUUUACAGUUUAACCCAAGAUGCACAUCAUGUGGCUUCAACUACCACUCUAUUUUCUUGCAUGACACGACCUGGAUGCUGGAUGUCCCACAUGUCUGCAAAAGGAGGAAGAACCCGACCAAAUCUUCGGUUGUGCUCUCGGAUUAGACUAGUUGUGCUAACUUAAUUUUUUUAUUGUGUACUCCCUCCGUUCCAAAAUAUACUUGACAUCCAUUUGUCCAAAAAUGGAUGUACCUAUAUACUAAAACAUGUCUAGAAACAUCUAUAUUUUCACAAACAGAAGGCAUGUAUUGUGGAACGGAGGGAGUAGAAUGGAUGCAAGUUUUGGUAUUGGGAGGAAGAGUACAUCGAUAUAUUGAUAGAGCGCAAUUUAGUAGAUGUUCUAGCACUUUUAGCUAGCAUAGAGGCUAGAGAUGAGACUAGUGCACUUUUGAUACUCCUACUAGAAUAGAGGCUAGACAUGAGACUAGAUGCGAGGAAGCAACGUCUACUUCUUUACACUCGAAGAAGAAAGAAGCACGCAAGAUCGAGCCUCCACAGAUCAACAAUGAAUGCAUCAAGAAGGCACUAAUCCAACUUACAUGAGCAGUUAUGGAAGUUGGAUAUCUUCUAAAAUGUAUUCUUGUGGUUCUUGUUUUCUUUGGUCUUACUUUUCUAGUCAAAAUUAUCGUUGGAGUUCGUGCAAAAUGGAGGUCCGUUUGGGGUCGUGCGUUGGAGUUGGCCUUACAAGUGGGACCGAAGUUGAGGAAACUGACUAUCGGCAAAUCCCCACCUCGCCGCCGCGUGAUGGUUGAAGUUAGAGAAAUGACGAGGUUGAAGAGAUUGCUCUAGCACGGACUCCAAGAAAUAUGGUGUCAGAUGGAUGUGGUGCUGGUGGCGUGUGCCGUACUCCUGGACGUGAAUGCUUGUUCUGGCCCAUGCCACCCUACUACUCCUACUACUUAUAUAGUACUCCUACUAGUAGUAUCGAGGAUUCGAGGUGCUGGUUACGUACAACGAACACAUUAACAUAUGUCUAUAGUAAAAACACCCACCCGACAUGCGAAGCAUGUGAAUCUAGUACAAAUAGUGUACUACUAUUGUUGAUUGGCCUCAUCCGAUAAGCUGUUGCAAUGCACGUACAAUUAUGUAUUCAGAAAAUAUUUUUUGCCUCAUCGCACCACUCACUCAGAGAAGCGACUCGAAAGCCAUUCAUAAAUUUAGUAAGUUUAUCACAUGCAUAUCAUUUUAUUACAUACAACAGGUCAUCAACCCACAUCGACAACGAGGAUACACUAUAAAUACUAAAGUUUUCAUCACACAACAAAUAACAAGCAAUGAAAUGAACUUCAACUCAACCAAUCCUCGACGUUGGAAACACUUGCUUUGAACCACAAGUGAUUCUCUAGGAAGGGCCAUCCAUUGUCGAUCUCGAGACCAACGCAGGACUGAUCAUCCAGGCUGAAGCGGCCUACUAUAUCAGUACCAGGGUAGGGAACCACCCAAAUGUCCGAGGUAUAGAUACAAUUGCUUCUCAUGAAUGGUACUAGUAACAUUGUGUCAACAGCAGAUGGAUCGCCUUUCACCAUCAUUGGAUAGUUUUGUCCAAGGAAGAGCGAGUUUUCUCCAAGACUAUCAAUUCUGUACCAGGGAGAAGGUGUUGGUUCUAGCACACUAGCAUCUAUCCUGAAUACCAUGCAACGGGUGUUGGAAUAGGUCCGGAGAGUGCAACCACGGGAGACUACACCUGCCUCCUUAGUAGUAACAUCAUCAGUGGGCUGUAUACACACAAAAAGAGGUGAUCCAUCAGAAUUAGCUGCCAGGCGCCACUGAGUAUAUGGGCGCUGCUCGUCCUCAUGCUUGUGAUCAUCACCAUCGUCAUCUCCCCUUAGUUAUAAUUUUUUUCAAGUAUAGGUGGUGGAAUGUUCACGGGACCUUGGAAACACAAGAAGAAGGUUAAUUAGUAAGGGAAACUUGCUAACCCGCAUGCAUGUGGAUGAAAUAAUUAUAAUUGCGGUGGAAGACAAACGUACCGAAACUAUGAGGAUCCCAUGCAAAAACAGUGCCAUGAGUGGUGGAAGCAAACACAAGGCCCUCGUAUUGAAUUGCAUCACAGUACUCAUCCGUGUACAGAAACUGAUUUUUGAGCAAUAUCCAUACAGUCGGACCACGAAGGAUGGCAACAAGCUUGGUGAAGAUAGCAACAACUACAUAGUUCUUAUAAUUCCAAGAGCGGUUAAGAAAUCGACAAAUUGCUAUCUUUCGUAGAAGACAUUCACUAUGAUCGUAUUUGAACGUGCGUAGAAUACCGGUGUGCUCAACCUCUUGGCAAUCUGCUGAGAUUUUUGGAAGUGGAACCCAGUGAUGAGUGUACACAUUCACAAGUUCCCACUCGCAGUUGGACCCAAUAUAAACAACCCAAUCUCCAUUUGCGCCUGCCCAAGCCUUACCCUCAAGCGAUGGCAUCUUAACGUCAUACGUAUCAUUAUCAAGCGGCAUCAACUUGCACAAGGUGAGGCCUCCGUCGUCCCCGCGCCAGUCAUCAGGGUGAGGGCGAAGAAGAUAGGGGAGAUCAAACCACUCCUUGACCCUUGGGUUCCUUGUAAUGAUGUUAUUAGUUGAGUCGAGAAUGGAACGAACCUGCCAUGCUAGCUGAGGAUUGAAGGAAAUAUGCCCUAGAGGCAAUAAUCACGUUAUUAUUUAUUUCCUUAUAUCAUGAUAAAUGUUUAUUAUUCAUGCUAGAAUUGUAUUAACCGGAAACAUAAUACAUGUGUGAAUACAUAGACAAACAUAGUGUCACUAGUAUGCCUCUACUUGACUAGCUCGUUUAUCAAAGAUGGUUACGUUUCCUAGCCAUGGCCAAAAGAGUUGUCAUUUGAUUAACGGGAUCAAAUCAUUGGGAGAAUGAUGUGAUUGACUUGACCCAUUCCGUUAGCUUAGCACUUGAUUGUUUAUUAUGUUGCUAUUGCUUUCUUCAUGACUUAUACAUGUUCCUAUGACUAUGAGAUUAUGCAACUCCCGUUUACCGGAGGAACACUUUGUGUGCUACCAAAUGUCACAACGUAACUGGGUGAUUAUAAAGGAGCUCUACAGGUGUCUCCUAAGGUACAUGUUGGGUUGGCGUAUUUCGAGAUUAGGAUUUGUCACUCCGAUUGUCGAAGAGGUAUCUCUGGGCCCUCUCGGUAAUGCACAUCACUAUAAGCCUUGCAAGCAAUGUGACUAAUGAGUUAGUUGCGAGAUGAUGUAUUACGUAACGAGUAAAGAGACUUGCCAGUAACGAGAUUGAACUAGGUAUUGGAUACCGACGAUCGAAUCUUGGGCAAGUAACAUGCCGAUGACAAAGGGAACAACGUAUGUUGUUAUGCGGUUUGACCGAUAAAGAUCUUCGUAGAAUAUGUGGGAGCCAAUAUGAGCAUCCAGGUUCCGCUAUUGGUUAUUGACCAAGAAUAGUUCUAGGUCAUGUCUACAUAGUUCUCGAACCCGUAGGGUCCGCAUGCUUAACGUUACGAUGACAGUUAUAUUAUGAGUUUAUGAGUUUUGAUGUACCAAAGGUUGUUCGGAGUCCCGGAUGUGAUCACGGACAUGACGAGGAGUCUCUAAAUGGUCGAGACAUAAAGAUUGAUAUAUUGGAAGCCUAUAUUUGGAUAUCGGAAUGGUUCCGGGUGAAAUCGAGAUUUUACUGGAACACCGGGGGGGGGGGGGUUACCGGAACCCUCCCGGGGGUUAAUGGGCCUUAGUGGGCGAUGAGGGAGAAGAGGAGGGCCGGCCAGGGUAGGGCGCGCGCCCCCUCCCCCCUAGUCCGAAUAGGACAAGGAGGGGGGGGGCGCCCCCCUUUCCUCUUUCCCCUCCCCCCUUUUCUUAUACACCAAGGCAAGAGGGGGGAGUCCUACUCCCGAUGGGAGUAGGACUCCUCCAGGCGCACCCCUAGGGGGCCGGCCGCACCUCCCCCCUCCCUCCUUUAUAUACGGGGGCAGGGGGCACCCUAGGACACGCAAGUUGAUCUACGUGAUCGUUCCUUAGCCGUGUGCGGUGCCCCCCUCCACCAUAUUCCACCUCGGUCAUAUCGUCGUGGAGUUUAGGCGAAGCCCUGCACCGGUAGAACAUCAUCAUCGUCACCAUGUUGUCUUGCUGACGGAACUCAUCCCCGACACUUUGCUGGAUCGGAGUCCGGGGAUCGUCAUCGAGCUGAACGUGUGCUGAACUCGGAGGUGCCAUACGUUCGGCACUUGGAUCGGUCGGAUCGUGAAGACGUACGACUACAUCAACCGUGUUGUCAUAACACUUCCGCUUACGGUCUACGAGGGUACGUGGACAUUACUCUCCCCUCUCGUUGCUAUGCAUCACCAUGAUCUUGCGUGUGCGUAGGAAAUUUUUUAAAAUUACUACGUUCUCCAACAGUGGCAUCCGAGCCAGGUUUUAUGCAUAGAUGUGAUAUGCACGAGUAGAACACAAGUGAGUUGUGGGCCAUACAAGUCAUACUGCUUACCAGCAUGUCAUACUUUGGCUCAGCGGUAUUGUGAGAGGAAGCGGCCUGGACCGACAUUACGCGUACGCUUACGCAAGAUUGGUUUCACCGUUACGAGCACUCGUGCUUAAAGGUGAUUGGCGGGUGUUUGUCUCUCUCACUUUAGCUGAACCGAGUGUGGCUACGCCCGGUCCUUGCGAAGGUUAAAACAACAUUAACUUGACGAACUAUCGUUGUGGUUUUGAUGCGUAGGUAAGAACGGUUCUUGCUAAGCCCAUAGCAGCCACGUAAAAUUUGCAACAACAAAGUAGAGGACGUCUAACUUGUUUUUGCAGGGCAUGUUGUGAUGUGAUAUGGUCAAGACGUGAUGCUAUAUUUUAUUGUAUGAGAUGAUCAUGUUUUGUAACCGAAGUUAUCGGCAACUGGCAGGAGCCAUAUGGUUGUCGCUUUAUUGUAUGAAAUGCAAACGCCCUGUAAUUGCUUUACUUUAUCACUAAGCGGUAGCGAUAGUCGUAGAAGCAAUAGAUGGCGUAACGACAACGAUGCUAUGAUGGAGAUCAAGGUGUCGCGCCGGUGGCGAUGGUGAUCACGACGGUGCUUCGAAGAUGGAGAUCACAAGCACAAGAUGAUGAUGGCCAUAUCAUAUCACUUAUAUUGAUUGCAUGUGAUGUUUACCCUUUAUGCAUCUUAUCUUGCUUUGAUUGACGGUAGCAUUUUAAGAUGAUAUCUCACUAAAUUAUCAAGAAGUGUUCUCCCUGAGUAUGCACCGUUGCGAAAGUUCUUCAUGCUGAGACACCACGUGAUCACUACUAGGGAAAAGCCUAUGCACAGAAUCUUACUAGCAGCGCUCCACAAAAUACCACGCUGCUGCUACUUAGCAGCAGCGCGUGUUAGAGAAACGCGCUGCUGACAGGAAAAUAGCAGUAGCGCGUCCACCACAAACCGUGCUACUGCUAUNNNNNNNNNNNNNNNNNNNNNNNNNNNNNNNNNNNNNNNNNNNNNNNNNNNNNNNNNNNNNNNNNNNNNNNNNNNNNNNNNNNNNNNNNNNNNNNNNNNNNNNNNNNNNNNNNNNNNNNNNNNNNNNNNNNNNNNNNNNNNNNNNNNNNNNNNNNNNNNNNNNNNNNNNNNNNNNNNNNNNNNNNNNNNNNNNNNNNNNNNNNNNNNNNNNNNNNNNNNNNUGAAGCGCGCUACUGCUAUAGAAGUUAGCAGCAGCGCGCUUAUAGGAAAAACCGCUACUGCUAAGAUCGGCCCACAAGUUUAGUCCCACCUCGCUCCGUGAACAGGGUGUUUACCACCUUAAAUAUGUUAUUUCUGAAACUACCACAACCAGUUGGUCUUCACUGAACUCUAUGUGUAAAAUUUGUGGCCGCAAUAUGAGUCCUCUCCAGUUCCUACCGGAUAGGACUCAUAUUGACAAUUCAGAUUGUACAUAAAAAGAUCAUUGAUGGCCAAUGUAUCUUUUGCAUUGACGUAUUUUUUGUAUAGUUACACUUAGCAGUAGCGGUUUAUGUGCAAGGCGCUACUGCUAUUCAGAUUAGUUGUAGCACGUUUUGGCAAAUGCGCUACAACUAUCCCUACCUUAUCCCCACGCGCACGACCGGCCCUCACUCACACUCUCGCUCUCGCCCCCUGUGCCGAUAACCGUCGUCGUGCGUCGUUGCCGCCGCCGCCUUCGUCCGUCCGCCGCCGAGGUACUCCCCUCCUUCCGUACCUCCUCCCUCCUCCUCGCACAUCCUCCCUCCGCCUGCGGCCGCCCCUCCCUCCUCCGCCGCCGCCCUCCUCCCUCCGCCUGUGGCCGCCCCUCCUCCCUCCUCCGCCGGCAGCCCUCCUCCCACCGCCCUCGACCUCGCCGCCCCUAGCUACCUCUCCGUNNNNNNNNNNNNNNNNNNNNNNNNNNNNNNNNNNNNNNNNNNNNNNNNNNNNNNNNNNNNNNNNNNNNNNNNNNNNNNNNNNNNNNNNNNNNNNNNNNNNNNNNNNNNNNNNNNNNNNNNNNNNNNNNNNNNNNNNNNNNNNNNNNNNNNNNNNNNNNNNNNNNNNNNNNNNNNNNNNNNNNNNNNNNNNNNNNNNNNNNNNNNNNNNNNNNNNNNNNNNNNNNNNNNNNNNNNNNNNNNNNNNNNNNUAGUACUAGAUUUAGUAGUUGUAGAUGUUAAUUUAGGGUUCAUAGCUAGUACUAGAUGUUGCUUAGUUAGUACUAGAUUUUUAGUAGUAGUAGAUGUUAAUUACUAGUAGUGAUGGUACUAGUUAUCUAGAUGUUGCUUAGUUAGUACUAGAUUUUUAGUUGUAGUUGAACUAGUUUACUAAGUAAAUUAAUAUAACUAGUUGAACUACUUUAUUUUUAGAAAGAACUAGUUUUUUUCUAUUUAUAGUAAGUUUAUAUUUAGUAAGAACUAGUUGAAUUAAUAAAACUAGUUGAACAUGUCAUAUUUGUUGUUAUUUUUUAGUUUCAGCAAUUAUUCGGGAUGUAUUAGUGAUAACUUAUAUGGUUUCUCAGGUGACCACCGUCGUCCCCAUCAUCGACCCCCUCCGACAUCCCCGCCGUCGUCCCCGUCACCGACCCCCUCCGACAUCCCCGUCGUUGUCCCAGUCACCGACCCCCUCCGACAUCGAGGUGAGACCAGCCAAAUAUCCUUGUAUAUCUUGUGUUGUUACUCAAAUAGGAUAUGUGGUUGCCAAGUGGCCGUUCAUGUUCAGUUUAUAUCUCCGAGUGGCCUAUGUUUUGCCGGAGUGUUGAUUAAUUUCCGUUCCGGCAAAUUUCAGGCGCUCGAUAUGUCCUUUUUUAGCAAAGGUCAUGCCGGAUUUUUUCGUGAAUUCUGGCAUGACUUGUGCUAGAAUAUGUACAGGUUUAAUCUUUGAAUUAUGAACGUAGGAAAUGUCGUACUCGGACGACGAGAGUCUCCCGGGGGAGUGUAGCUGGUGCCACGACGAUCGAGGUAUGUGCGACAGGUUCGUUCAGCUGGACGAAGAUCGGCGCUUCAGCAUUAAGCUCGAUGAGACCUUCGAUUGUGAAACGGUACGCAACAACAACAAGUGUUUUUUUUCGUAAUUAAGCAUGACUUCAACUAUUUCAGCGUCUAAUUUUCAUAUUUUACAAUUCGACUAGCUUAUCCCAUGCCAUGCAAGACGCUAUGUCUUGGAGAGGAUGGGUUUUGAAGACCAUGAAAAUUUCAAAACAAAGAAAAUACACCUAAGGACCCAUCAUGAUAUGGAUUUUGAAGUAAAUCUGUGCAAUGCUCAGAGCGUAACCCAUUUUGGUUGCCAAAAUUGGGAAGCACUUUGCAAAAUGUAUGGUUUUUAUGAGGGUAUGAUUGUCACCAUGGAUCUUGGUGAUCCUGACAUUGAGCAAGACAAUAUGGACAUUUGGGUCCUUGUUGAUACGCUUCCGAUUGUACCGCUAUGUGAGUUUCUCAAACAUAGUUAUUAACUAAUUUAUAUUGUUUAUUUCAAAAUUGUUGAUAGCUUAUUUCCAUUGACAGCUUGUUUUGAUUCUUCAAAGACUGUGCGGAAGAUGGUAGAUAAAACCCACUACACCGAUGGCACCGAAUUAACGUAUAAGGAGAAAAAUCAUCUGAUCGCAUUUUGUACUCUUCUUGAGAAUUACAAUAACUAUUAUCGAACUCCUCCAAAUUAUGGUGAAUGCGUGCCACUAGUGCAUGUGUUGAACCACGGUAACUUCUCUGGAGAUACCCUGGUAAGAUUUUUUACUAUUACGACAUCCAUGCAUCUUUUGCAUACUUCUAAAAUUAGUACAUCAUUGCUAACUACGAAGUUAUUAUUAUGUUUUUCAACAGAAACUCCCAAUGGAUUGUGUGCCUCAUCUGAUGUCUCUGAAUGGUCGCCUCUCAGUUCUGAACAUAAUGCCAGGUAAAUCUAGGGAGCUCACCUGUGCAUAUCGGAUUUCUAAAACCGGUGAACACAUGAUCAUCAAAGAAUGGAAGAAAUGUAUGGACAUUCGCAAGGAGGUUCUUGGAAGUAACAUUCAGCGAAAGGCAAGAAUUGGAGACAGGCUAAUCUCCAUUCUCCAUAAUGGAGAGUCAGGGGCUAUCUUGUUUUUUUCUAUUUUACCUUAGAAAAUGUAGUAGGUCUUAAUCGAAUGUAGUAGGUCCUAUGAGGUACAAUAUGUUUAUUAUGUGGUAAUGUGUUAGAGUUGAUAAUGAGGAGUACUUGUGAUUAUGACUAGUGACCAAUUUGCUAUGUGAUGUCAUUGAUGAAAACGAUGAUCUUGAGGAGGUGUUAUAUGACAAUGAUGUAUUAUGAUGAUAAGUUGUUAAUGAUAUGAUGAUGAUGAUGAUAGUCCACGGUUCUUUCACCCCGUGAUGUAAUAACUCAUCAUGAUGUAAAAACAAUCUCUAAAUUCCUGUUGUAUGAAAACUUGUGUAAAGGUGUAUGAAUACAACAUGAAAUAAAAAAAGAAAAAAAAUACUAAAUAGUAGUAGUAGCGCGGUCCUGAAGAAGCGCUACUACUAAGUCAAUUUAGCAGUAGCGUGGAUCUAGGCACGCUAUUGCUAAGCAUUAGCUGUAGCGCCUUAUCAGUAGCACUCCUGCCCGUGCUACUGAUAGGCCUAAAACCCGCGCUGCUGCUAGGCUUUUUCCUAGUAUUUGAUGAUCGGGUGUGAUAGGCUCUACGUUCAAAUACAACGGGUGCAAAACAGUUGCACACGCGGAAUACUCAGGUUAAACUUGACGAGCCUAGCAUAUAACAGAUAUGGCCUCGGAACAUGGAGACCGAAAGGUCGAACGUGAAUCAUAUAGUAGAUAUGAUCAACAUAGUGAUGUUCACCAUUGAAACUACUCCAUCUCACGUGAUGAUCGGACAUGGUUUAGUUGAUUUGGAUCACGUGAUCAGUUAGAUGACUAGAGAGAUGUCUGUCUAAGUGGGAGUUCUUAAGUAAUAUGAUUAAUUGAACUUAAAUUUAUCAUGAACUUAGUACCUGGUAGUAUUUUGCAAAUUAUGUUGUAGAUCAAUAGCUUGCGUUGUUGCUUUCAUAUGUUUAUUUUGAUAUGUUCCUAGAGAAAAUUGUGUUGAAAGAUGUUAGUAGCAAUGAUGCAGAUUGGAUCCGUGAUAUGAGGUUUAUCCUUAUUGCUGCACAGAAGAACUAUGUCCUUAAUGCACCGCUAGGUGACAGACCUAUUGCAGUAGCAGUUGCAGACGUUAUGAACGUUUGGCUAGCUCAAUAUGAUGACUACUUUAUAGUUUUGUGCACCAUGCUUUAUGGCUUAGAAUCGGGACUUCAAAGACGUUUUGAACGUCAUGGACCAUAUGAGAUGUUCCAGGAGUUUAAGUUAAUAUUUGAAGCAAAUACCCGAGUUGAAAGAUAAGAAGUCUCCAACAAGAUCUAUAGCUAAAAAGAUGGAGGAGAAUUGCUCAACUAGUGAGCAAGUGCUUAGAUUGUCUGAGUACUAACAAUCACUUGAAUCAAGUGGGACUUAAUCUUCCAGAUAAGAUAGUGAUUGGCAGAGUUCUCUAGUCACCAUCACCAAGUUACUGGAACUUCGUGAUGAACUAUAAUGCAAGGGAUGACGAAAAUGAUUCCCGAGCUCUUCGUGAUGCUGAAAUCGACGAAGGUAGAAAUCAAGAAAAGAGCAUCAAGUGUUGAUGAUUGACAAGAUCACUAGUUUCAAGAAAAAGGGCGAAGGGAAAGAAAGGGAACUUCAAGCAGAAUGGCAAGCAAGUUGUCACUCCCGUGAAGAAGCCCAAAGCUGGACCAAAGUCUGAAACUAAGUGCUUCUACUGCAAAUGGUCACUAGAAGCGGAAAUGCCCUGAAUAUUUGGUGGAUAAGAAGGAUGGCAGAGUGAACAAGGGUAUUUUUGAUAUACAGGUUAUUGAUGUGUACCUUACUAGUGUUUAUAGUAGCCCUUGAGUAUUUGAUACUUGUUCAGUUGCUAAAAAAAUUAGUGACUCGAAACAGGAGUUACAGAAUAAACAGAGACUAGUUGAGGGUGAAGUGACGAUGUGUGUUGGAAGUGGUUCCAAGAUUGAUAUGAUCAUCAUCGCACACUCCCUAUACUUUCGGGAUUAGUGUUAAACCUAAAUAAAUGUUAUUUGGCAUUUGCGUUGAACAUGAAUAUGAUUUGAUCAUGUUUAUUGCGAUACAGUUAUUCAUUUAAAGUCAAAGAAUAAUUGUUGUUCUGUUUACAUGAAGAAAACCUUCGAUGGUCAUACACCCAAUGAAAAUAGUUUGUUGGAUCUCGAUCGUAGUGAUACACAUAUUCAUAAUAUUGAUGCCAAAAGAUGCAAAGUUAAUAAUGAUAGUGCAACUUAUUUGUGGCACUGCCGUUUGGGUCAUAUCGGUGUAAAGCGCAUGAAGAAACUCCAUAAAGAUGGAUUUUCGGAAUCACUUGGUUAUGAAUCAUUUGAUGCUUGCAAACCGUGCCUUUUGGGCAAGAUGACUAAAACUCCGUUCUCCGGAACAAUGGAACAAGCUACUGACUUAUUGGAAAUAAUACAUACCGAUGUAUGCGAUCCGAUGAGUGUUAAGGCUCAUGGCAAGUAUCGUUAUUUUCUAACCUUCACAGAUGAUUUGAGUAGAUAUGGGUAUAUCUACUUCAUGAAACAUAAGUCUGAAAUAGUUGAAAAGUUCAAAGAAUUUCAGAGUGAAGUGGAAAAAUCAUCGUAACAAGAAAAAUAAAGUUUCUACGAUCUGAUCGUGGAGACGAAUAUUUGAGUUAUGAGUUUGGUCUUCAUUUGAAACAAUGUGAAAUAGUUUCGCAACUCACGCCAUCUGGAACACCACAAUGUAAUGGUGUGUCCGAACGUCGUAAUCGUACUUUACUAGAUAUGGUGCGAUCUAUGAUGUCUCUUAUCGGUUUACCACUAUCGUUUUGGGGUUAUGCAUUAGAGACAGCUGCAUUCACGUUUAAUAGGGCAACAUCUAAAUCUGUUGAGACGACAUCGCAUGAACUAUGGUUUAGCAGUAAACCUAGCUAAGCUGUCGUUUCUUAAAGCUUGGAGUUGCGAUGCUUAUAUGAAAAAGGUUUUCAACCUGAUAAGCUCGAACCCAAAUCGGAGAAGUGCGUCUUCAUAGAAUACCCAAAGGUAACUAUUGGGUACACCUUCUAUCACAGAUCUGAAGGCAAGUUAUCCGUUGCUAAGAUGGAUCCUUUCUAGAGAAGAAGUUUCUCUCGAAAGAAGUGAGUGGGAGGAAAGUAGAACUUGAUGGGGUAAUUGUACCUUCUCCCUUAUUGGAAAGUAGUUCAUCACGGAAAUCAGUUCCAGUGAUUCCUACACCAAUUAGUGAGGAAGUUAAUGAUGAUGAUCAUGAAACUUCAGAUCAAGUUGCUACCAAACCUCGUAGGUCUUCCAGAGUAAGAUUCGCACCAGAGUGGUACGGUAAUCAUGUUCUGGAAGUCAUGUUACUAGACCAUGAUGAACCUACGAACUAUGAGGAAGCGAUGAUGAGCCCAGAUUCCACGAAAUGGCUUGAGGCCAUAAAAUCUGAGAUAUGAUCCAUGUAUGAGAACAAAGUAUGGACUUUGAUUGACUUGCUCGAUGAUCAGCAAGCCAUGUUAAAUAAAUGGAUCUUCAAGAGGAAGACGGACACUGAUAGUAGUGUUACUAUCUACUAAGCUCGACUUGUUGCGAAAGGUUUUCAACAAGUUCAAGGUGUUGAAUACGAUGAGAUUUUCUCACUCGUAUCGAAGCUUAAGUCUGUCUGAAUCAUGUUAGCAAUUGCCACAUUUUAUGAGAUCUGGCAAAUGGAUGUCAAAACUGCAUUCCUUAAUGGAUUUAUUAAAGAAGAGUUGUAUAUGAUGCAACCAGAAAGUUUUUGUCAAUCCUAAAGAUGCUAACAAAGUGUGCAAGCUCCAGCAAUCCAUCAAUGGACUGGUGCAAGCAUCUCGGAGUUGGAAUAUACGCUUUGAUGAGUUGAUCAAAGCAUAUGGUUUUAUACAGACUUUUGGAAAGACCUGUAUUUACAAGAAAAUGAGUGGGAGCACUACAGCAUUUCUGAUAAGUAUAUGUGAAUGACAUAUUAUUAAUUGGAAAUGAUGUAGAAUUUUCUGGAAAGCAUAAAGGAGUGUUUGAAAGAAGUUUUUCAAAGAAAGACCUCGGUGAAGCUGCUUACACAUUGAGCAUCAAGAUCUAUAUAGAUAGAUCAAGACGCUUGAUAAGUUUUUCAAUGAGUACAUACAUUUAUAAAUUUUUGAAGUAGUUCAAAAUGGAACAGUCAAAGAAAGAGUUCUUGCCUGUGUUGCAAGGUGUGAAGUUGAGUAAGACUCAAAACCCGACUAUGGCAGAAAAUAGAAAGAGAAUGAAAAGUCAUUCCCUAUGCCUCAGUCAUAGGUUCUAUAAAGUAUGCUAUGCUGUGAACCAGACCUAUUGUAUACCUUGCUCUGUGUUUGGCAAAGGAAUACAAUUUUGAUCUAAUAGUAGAUCACUGGACAGCGGUCAAGAAUAUCCUCAGUGAGGACCAAGGAAAUACUUCUCGAUUAUGGAGGUGAUAAAAGAGCCUGUCGUAAAAAGUUACAUCGGUGCAAGCUUUUACACCGAUCCAGAUGACUCUAAGUCUCAAUCUGGAUACAUAUUGAAAGUAGGAGCAAUUAGCUAGAGUAGCUCCAUGCAGAGCAUUGUAGACAUAGAAUAUUUGCAAAAUACAUACGGCUCUGAAUGUGACAGACCCGUAGACUAAACUUCUCUCACGAGCAAAACAUGAUCAUACCUUAGUACUCUUUGGGUGUUAAUCACAUAGCGAUGUGAACUAGAUUAUUGACUCUAGUAAACCCUUUGGGUGUUGAUCACAUGACGAUGUGAACUAUGGGUGUUAAGCAUAUACAGUUAUGAAUAUUGGUGUUAAAUCACAUGAUGAUGUGAACUAGACUAUUGACUCUAGUGCAAGUGGGAGAUUGAAGGAAAUAUGCCCUAGAGGCAAUAAUCAGGUUAUUAUUUAUUUCCUUAUAUCAUGAUAAAUGUUUAUUAUUAAUGCUAGAAUUGUAUUAACCAGAAACAUAAUACAUGUGUGAAUACAUAGACAAACAUAGUGUCACUAGUAUGCCUCUAUUUGACUAGCUCGUUUAUCAAAGAUGGUUACGUUUCCUAGCCAUGGACAAAAGAGUUGUCAUUUGAUUAACAGGAUCACAUCAUUGGGAGAAUGAUGUGAUUGACUUGACCCAUUCCGUUAGCUUAGCACUUGAUCGUUUAGUAUGUUGCUAUUGCUUUCUUCAUGACUUAUACAUGUUCCUAUGACUAUGAGAUUAUGCAACUCCCGUUUACCGGAGGAACACUUUGUGUGCUACCAAACGUCACAACAUAACUGGGUGAUUAUAAAGGAGCUCUACAGGUGUCUCCGAAGGUACAUGUUGGGUUGGUGUAUUUCGAGAUUAGGAUUUGUCACUCCGAUUGUCGGAGAGGUAUCUCUGGGCCCUCUCGGUAAUGCACAUCACUAUAAGCCUUGCAAGCAAUGUGACUAAUGAGUUAGUUGCGAGAUGAUGUAUUACGUAACGAGUAAAGAGACUUGCCGGUAACGAGAUUGAACUAGGUAUUGGAUAACGACGAUCGAAUCUCGGGCAAGUAACAUGCCGAUGACAAAGGGAACAACGUAUGUUGUUAUGCGGUUUGACCGAUAAAGAUCUUCGUAGAAUAUGUGGGAGCCAAUAUGAGCAUCCAGGUUCCGCUAUUGGUUAUUGACCGAGAAUAGUUCUAGGUCAUGUCUACAUAGUUCUCGAACCCGUAGGGUCCGCACGCUUAACGUUACGAUGACAGUUAUAUUAUGAGUUUAUGAGUUUAUGAGUUUUGAUGUAUCGAAGGUUGUUCGGAGUCCCGGAUGUGAUCACGGACAUGACGAGGAGUCUCGAAAUGGUCGAGACAUAAAGAUUGAUAUAUUGGAAGCCUAUAUUUGGAUAUCGAAAUGGUUCCGGGUGAAAUCGUGAUUUUACCGAAACACCGGGGGGGUUACCGGAACCCUCCCGGGGGUUAAUGGGCCUUAGUGGGCCAUUAGGGAGAAGAGGAGGGCCGGCCAGGGCAGGUCGCGCGCCCCCUCCCCCCCUAGUCCGAAUAGGACAAGGAGGGGGGGCGCCCCCCUUUCCUCUUUCCCCUCCCCCCUUUCCUUCUCCACCAAGGCAAGAGGGGGGAGUCCUACUCCCGACGGAAGUAGGACUCCUCCAGGCACACCCCUAGGGGGCCGGCCGCACCUCCCCCCUCCCUCCUUUAUAUUCGGGGGCAGGGGGGCACCCUAGGACACGCAAGUUGAUCUACGUGAUUGUUCCUUAGCCGUGUGCGGUGCCCCCCUCCACCAUAUUCCACCUCGGUCAUAUCGUCGCAGAGUUUAGGCGAAGCCCUGCGCCGGUAGAACAUCAUCAUCGUCACCACGCCGUCGUGCUGACGGAACUCAUCCCCGACACUUUGUUGGAUCGGAGUCCGGGGAUCGUCAUCGAGCUGAACGUGUACUGAACUCGGAGGUGCCGUACGUUCGGUACUUGGAUCAGACGGAUCAUGAAGACGUACGACUACAUCAACCGCGUUGUCAUAACGCUUCCGCUUACGGUCUACGAGGGUACGUGGACAUUACUCUCCCCUCUUGUUACUAUGCAUCACCAUGAUCUUGCGUGUGCGUAGGAAUUUUUUUGAAAUUACUACGUUCCCCAACAAGGAUAUGACGUCACACCGAUCAAUGAGUUCCUCCACCACGUCAUCUUUCAGAUCGGGGCAAGAAUAACGGGGUCAUUUCUGGCAUGUUCCCUCCAUGGAGAAGAUGAUCGAACAAUGGCAGAAGGAAGGGUGAAGGCAAAUGGAGGAGGGAGAGGAAGAGCGUGCGACAACAGUUCCAAAUCGAGAGGGAAAGGCGAAUAGUCGGUGGACGGUUGCUAGUUUGCCACGGUACACGAAGAGGCGCCCCGGCCUACACGUCCGUUCGAAAAUACUAGUAGAAAAGGACUCGUCGUUGUCUCACUGAUAUGUUGGAACGGGACCACAUGUCAAUGAAACAUGGUGUGUAAUUUCUCGUGCAAAAUGCGAUCUGGCCGCGUUGGCCCGAGGUUCCGCAUUAGUUAUCGGCCUUUAUUUUUUUAAUGGCGUGCCAUUCAGUUUUGAAGCACGACUAACUAGUACUGUACGCAUAGAAAAUAUAAACUACUCUACCACUACUCCACCUCCAGUACUAGUAGUAUAAAAAAGAUAUAUAGGCUGGAGCUUCAACGCUUUCUUGCUAAGGGCUGCCCACUUGCUUCUCACACUAUCACCCUCUUUCCAGAUCUAAAAAAGACGGCCUCUCUCUCCCUCCUCACCAGUGGUCAUAGAUCCGCCGGGGAAGAAAAGGAUGUGCAGCGUUGAUGCACUCGUCAUCGGCAAGCGAGGUCACACACUAACGGCAAGGUCGUCCUCUCAGACCUAGCGUCCGCGCGGGAUGGCCUCCGUCCCCAAGCUCUCUACCCUAGUGUGUGCGGAGGACGACGACCACGAGCGAAGCCACUUCCCGCCGACCCUCAGGUAUGCUACCUCUUUUCGAACCAUACCCUUGUUCUAUUGCCCCAUCUGCCACGUCGUUGCAUGUGGAUCUUUUUCCACUCCACCAUCUUCCUAAUUUGCUAUCCUCUGCUCUGCUGGCCACAUAGACGAAAACCUUAAUUUGCACUAUUAAAGGAAACCCUACUUCAUGCAGACUAAUCCAUGUCUGGGUUGAAUAAGGAAAGGAAGGGAGACUGUACUAUCCAAGAGAGUAGGCAUCGAACCCACAUCUAGGUUGAAAAGGGGGAAAUCAGUAGUUAAGGAACGAGUCUCGUGUCUCUUGGUUGAAGAAGGGUAUAAAGGCAUGCCAACGCAAUAGAGAAUGACCAGGUCGAUCGGUUUGUUGUCCUCACAUAGGAAAAAGGUGGUAAAGAGAACAAAAAUGGGACGUAAUCCACAUAUGCUGCCUGGAUAUUUGUUGCUCUAGGCAACCAUACCUCCCUCACCACUCUGCAUCCGUGGAGGUACAUCCUACUAGUGCGCCCACUGUCCGAAUGGGCCUCCCAUGCUCUUAUUGCCACUUUUUUGUUGUUAGUAUAACACCAACAGUCGAGUCAAGCAAUGCUACUACUAAAGUGAUGCCACAUUUAACUAAUGCCACACUCAGUCUAAUGCCACCGAUAAAUUUAAGCAAUGCCAUUUAAAGUCACUGGAUUAUUUCAAGGUUAGCUGUUGAUUGUGGAUGUAUUAAAGAUUUUUCAGCUAAGGCAUUCUAAUGCUGUUGUACAGCGAGUAUACCAACGAUGAAUUUGUUACUACCUUCAGAUUUUUGCACUGUUAAUGCUUAUAGAUUACAUACCUCACUUUCAUGAGAUAAGUUAAUUUUUUUGUACAGUGUCACCAAAAUGCCAAGGCGCUGAUGUCAUUUUUUUUGGUUAACCAAGAGUGGGAACCUCCUCCUCCGGCUGUUCUCUUGAUUCGUUCGAUCAAGUUUUUAUGUUUGAUCGAUUAUCAAGAUUGGGAUAGCAAUUUUUAAGGUCCCCACGAGUUCGAAAUGAUAUUUACCUUGGAGGUACAUGGUUUGAAAAAAAUUUAUACUAUCAUUAGUUAAUAAUGCUAGUUACCUUCAUACUUUUUUAUUUGGUUUAAUGCUCAUGCACAGCUAGUAUACCAAUGCUGAAACUUGUUACCUUUACAUUUUGUAUUGUUAAUUCUUAUAGAAAUCUUCCAGUGCUAGAGUUCAUUGAAAUCUGUUCAGUAAAACCAUUGUACUGUACCCUAUAAUAAACUAACUACUCUACUGUUGCACUAGCCACUGGAUUAGUGUAUAUUUGUAGUAUUUAAUGGUGUUGCAUUAGUGUAUGGACAUAAAUAAAGUGUGGCAAGCUUUCCCAAAUAUGUGCUCAAGAAAACCACUACCUGUUUUUCUAAAUACUAGACGUUUGGGUACUUUAAAUUGAACCGCGAAAACGUCUUAUAUUAAGGAACAGAGGGUGUAGAGUUCACUCAAAUUAUCACGGUAAAUCUAGUCACACCUUUGUUAAAAUUAAUGUUCAUUAUGUUAUCGAAGGAGGUCUGUAUGUUUGUCUCUAAUGCCUGUCGACUACAUACCUGACAUCAUGAUGUAAUGUUAAGUCAUUUCCUUUUGUACAGUGUCACUGAAUUGUCAAGGCGGUGAUGGCAUUUUAUUUUAGUUGAACUACACAAAAUAUGCUUAAAAGAAGAGGAAAGGUAAGGAGUCGAUCAUUCUUUCAAAAAGAACUAUAUAUGCCUUUCUGACAUCAGCCGUUGUUGCCUUAUUUAUUCCUUCAAAUAGGUGGUUAGAACAAUCUUGCUAUCAUUUCCAUUAAGAAAUUGGAGUGCUUAUAUUUGUGAGUCUAUGCUUCAACUAGUAUCGCUUUUAUAGUAAUCACACUUUCAAUAUCUAUGCAAACAGGGAUGCUCGAUUUUAGUGGAACUGCACAAAAAGUCCAACUGGUUCAACAUUAGGAGCAUGUUUUCUUCCAAACCUUUAUAUCCAAUUGGUGGCACUAUGAGUUGUUCAUUACGAAGGUACAUGGUUUUCUACUAUCUUGCUACUCUUUUUGUACUGUCAUUAGAUAGUAAUACUAGUGGUUUGCAUGUGAAUUUAUUGGCAGGGUGGACCUACAUUGGAGGUGCAGGACAGGAUUCAAUGAUUGAAUGCUCAAUUUCGGUUGUAUCGAUUUCACCUCUUCCAUCACUGGAACAUGGAUAUCCUUGGUCUGAUGAAGAAUAGACGCUAUAUUCUGCUCUGAACGAGCAAAUCAAUUCAGUAUGAAAUUGUCAAGGGCAAAACAUAACUGUAUCAAAUUGUCUAGUGCAGAACAUGACAGAUGCUAAGCGGAAGAGACAUGUUUAAACCGAAAAUACAAGGUGUGGUAUAUGUUUACUAGUUGCUUGAUAUUUGUGGAGACAGAGAUGUCUGCCCGUUGCUAUUUGGCAAACAAACAAAGUGACCGCAAUUUUGGUUGAACUGCAUGCAGUGCCAUUUGACAAUAGACACAGGAAGAUUGGAUAGUCACUUCAUGGACUGCAGAAAAGUAGUACUGUACUAUUUAUUGGCCAACACUAGUGCUUCAUUGCUUUGGUCUGAUUAUACAAUGGGCAUCGUUUUGCCUAAGUUAAAGUUUGUAUUCCGAAAAUAAUCUCGCGGUGUGAUCGAGAGAAGACCAAAUCAUAUUGCAGUGGAUGUUCCUCCAUCGUGUGUGAUUCAUUCUCAUGGUUCCAGCUGUUGGUGAAACCACUUACGUUUGCAAGAGGAAUUGUAGACUUCACAAACAAAUUUGUCUUUCAGUCUGUACUAAAUGUUGGCCAAGAGAAGCAUCCAUGUUAGUAGGAAGAAUAGAUGUUUUUUCUAGAUCUUUGCUUCUGGAGCUACAUAUUUGUAUAUGAUCUGUGAAUCAUUGAGAUGCAUUAACAUGUUGAUCUUAUGUAUGGGAAUCGUACUAGUUGGUUUUAGUUGUGACGCAAGAUCCGAAGUGGGUGAUCUUUGCUUUUGGAGCUACAUAUUUGUAUAUGAUCUGUGAAUCAUUGAGAUGCAUUAACAGUUACUUAUUUAUGUUCGCUCAGUGUUUACAAGUUACUGAUCGAUCACUAGCUAGCCUACUAAUGCACUUCUGGCAGUUUUAUUUGCGACGCAAGAUCCAAAGCGGCAGUUUUUUGAAUAAAAAUGCAUACCUCUGAAGAAACUGACAAGCUACACUAUCCUACCUACUCGAUCCUACACGGGUAAAAUAGCGGAUCACGCACGUACUACCUCCUUUCCGGUUUGCAGGGCUCAAUUCAAGAAACGACCUACUCGAUCCUACACGAAUAAAUAGCGGAUCACGCACGUACUAGUACCCCCUUUCCGGUUUGCAGGGCUUAAUUCAAACCUCUCACCAACCAAGGUACUCCCUCCGUCCGGGUUUAUUAGUCCCGUGAACAAAGCAGCAAGACCAAGGCAUGGCAAUAAUUACCGGCAUGCAGAAGUUUAAGCCUAAUUAAUUUCAGCGAUUUAAGUGGCUGCAUGCGUGCCCUCGGCUGCGACUCAUUGCAUACUGCCCCGCGUACUUGCUGCGAGCGAUUCUGAGUGCCUGCAUGCAGCCGUCCGUAAUUAAGGAAGCUAACUAAUGCAAAAAAAGAUGCACUUUAAUUGUUGCGGGCUUUUUAAAUCCGUGGAAUCAUUAUUGACAAGGAGGGAGAUGAUUCGAGUGCACUCGUUUGACCGUCAUGCCGGCGUGCGACCCAGACGGGACGGGAUGGCACAAUCAUCAUUUCAGUUUCUCUAGUUUUCCACAGCAAGCUGGCACGCUAAGCCAUGCCUGCUUAUGCAUUGAAUUCCGAUGACCGUCGUGCUACCUUCCGCCUAUAAGUACUGUUUCCCGCCUUCUCCGGUGGCACCGUGACCCAACUCUCCAUAUCCUCAUAAGCCCCCACCGGCCCGACGUCGCUCGCCACGUCCGCCAUGCCCCCGCCCGUCCGCUGUAGGCGAGGCCGGAGGCGGUCACCGCCGGAACUAGUGUUCGAUUUUUCACCGGAAGGCAGACGGAGGAAGGAGGCAUUCUAUCUGUCUUUAGAUGGCAAUGCGGAGAUCGAGGACUUGUUGGAGCGCGACCGCCUGGCGGAGGAGCAGGAGUUGUUAGAGCGCGACCGCCUGGCGGAGGAGCAGCGUAUUGCCGAUUUGUGCCACCAGCGGGACAUGGAGUAGCAACGCACCGGCGCUCUGAGCCACGAGCAGAGCGCCCGCAAUUGGGCCUACUACGUGGAGGCCGGCGCCCGGCAAAUAGCUCUGGAGGCUGUCGGGCACGCACGCGUUCGCGACGCCGAUUUUUACUACCAGCUCGUCAAGUGGGUUUCCCGCUUGGAAGCCGAAGCUUCGUUGGACCAUGCCGGCAUGGAAAGGGCCAACGCGCGCGAGAAAUGCGCCCUAUCGCACCUCUGGCAAGUCCGAGGCGAGGUGCAGGACGCCGGUGCCGGCGUUUAGCGUGUACCGCAGAUGGCGGCCGGCAUCGCCUAGUUAGCUAAGAGUAAGUUAGUACUUGUAUGCUACUAGAGUAUUAGUGGGAGUAGAUAGUUAACUUGGCUAUGAUGGUUGUCAACAUGGAAGUUCAGUACUCUAUAUGUGGAUCAGACCUGAUACUUUGCUCUGAAUGUUGAACUUUCCGUUUGAACGUAUGAAAUGGGUUGUUAUUUUUUUAAAUGGGUUGUGUUUGUCCUCCACGGGUUUAGAGGCUGACUUGUGCGCCUACCAAGUUGAUGCGUACACAAUCAGGAGAUGAUUGUACGUGGAGAGGAUGACAGCAAGGACCCGCCAAGGUCAUGACAGUAAGCAAGCAAGUGCCUCCUUAUUUCAUGCCAUUAAAAAAAUGGCUCCUCCUAAUAGAUUUAUGACAUCUGGGUCCCAUGCCAUUGUCAAUGUAGUCAAUAAACGAGAGAAUUGCACAACGAGCGGCUGACACCAGGGACCCAGCAGCUCGGCCAGUUAUUUUUGUUUUGGGUUAAUUUGAUAAAUGCCACUCCAAAUCUGGUGUUUCCGAAAAAUGCCACUUUAAUUUCCAAACUUUGAAAAAUGCCAUUUCAUGCCAUUUCUAGUGGCAUUUUUCGAAGUCUGGAGUGGCGUUUUUUAAAGUUUGCAAACUGCAGUGGCGUUUUUCAAAGUUUGCAAACUGCAGUGGCGUUUUUUAAAGUUUGCAAAAAUUGAGUGGCAUUUUUCAAAGUUUGGAAAUUGUUGUGGCAUUUUUAUGAAUCGCUAUAAUUGGAGUGACAUUUAUCUAAAUUUUUUUGAUAUGAAAGCAAGGUGUCAACUGGGCUGUGUGGGACACUCUGGCCUGUCUAGAUAGCCUUUUCUUUUAUGUUUACCACAGACUAGCCCAGUAGUUUUUUUUCUUUCUGAAAAUGGCUAGCCCAGUUUUUUUGUGAUUUGUCAAGUAAGUCGCUUUGCUAGGCCUGCUGGGCUGCAAAUCUUUCAAGAUGGGGAGAGCUUCAUUCGGCUCACCGAGAAAAUGGCCUAUCAGUAAUGAGAAAUGGGCUGUAUAUUUUUAAAACACAUCAAACCAGUAAUUAGUUUCAAAUAUCUUUUUUUCAUUUCGAGAUUUUAAGUUACAUUGAUUUUUAUACGUGGACAAUUUAUUGGAUUUUAUAUUGAUAUACAUUUAUUUUUAAAAUCAGUCUGAAUGUGACUCAAAAUUUCGGGAGUAAAAACAGUUCAGACCGCACCGACAUAUGUGAAAUUUUGUAUAAUUUUUUAACCGUGGCCACAAUAUGGGAUGUAAUGCUAACAAAAAGAAUAUGAGCUUCAAAAAAACGUAAGAAUUAGCAAAUGGGCUGUAAAUUAUUAGAAAUAAUGGCAGAUGGCCUGUAUAUGCUGUUUUUCACAGAUUUGAGGCUUUCCUAAAAAAGGUUGACGCACAAGCAGUGACUGUUGGAUGUCCAUCCAACGGUCGCCAUGCUUCUUCAAUCUUUGAUCGUCCCCUUCCUAGGCCUCACCGUCGUCCACCGUCGUGGUGCUCUCGGCACGGCGUGGUCAAUGUGGUCAUCGACCGACUUCCAUCUGAAGAGUACUGUACGUGGAGAGGCUGACAACUGGGUCCACGGUAGCCGCAAGGAAGUGCCCCCUUCUUACGCGGAAAAUAAUUAUUCCUCCACCUGACAGCAGGGACCCACCGGACAUGCCACCAGUAUUUCACGAAAAAAUGUUUCCCCUGACUGCUGGGACCCACCAAACGGGCCACUGUAUUUCACAAAAAAAAUGUUUCCCCCUGACUGCUGGGACCCACCGGACGGGCAACCGUAUUUCGCGAAAAAAAUGUUUCCCCCGUUGUCAGCUCAGACCUACCGGAAGUGCCUCCUUAUUACGCACAAAAAGAUGAAUACCCCCUACUAGCUGGGACCCACCUUGGUGGGAGGCUAACUUGUGGGCCUACUAAGUUGACUGGGACGGAGGCCUUUGUCAACUUUAGUCAAUAUGAACAAUUCUACCUCCAGUGACCAUACGAUGUCCAUCCAACGGCCGAAGUGCUUCUUCAACCUCUGGUCUUCUUGCUCCAGCCGCCUAAAGCAGCGCCGGUCGUGCUGCAUGCUCCUGCCUCCCGUGGUCGGCUGUGAUGUCGCGGAGGCCUCAUCGCCUCCUACUACUCCCACCGCUGGCCAGGCCAUCCCUCUACUCACCCACACCCCCUGUUAUUCUGCGGCGACGGGAGCCUCACACCACAGCCGAACUAGUGAACCCUCGUAAUCCUCUCCGCGUGGGCAUCCACUGCCGCGUCUUCCCCGGCUCCGCGUCGUCCCCUUCCUAGGCCUCGCCGUCAUCCACCGCCGUGGUGCUCUCGGCGCAACAUGGUCAUUGUGGUCAACGACCCACUUCCAUCGGAAGAGUACUGUAUGUCGAGAGGCUGACAGCUGGGUCCACGACAGCUGCAAGGAAGUGCCUCCUCAUUACGCGCAAAAUAAUUAUUCCUCCACCUGACAGCGGGGACCCACCGGACGGGCCACCGUAUUUCGCGAAAAAAACGUUUCCUCCUGACUAUUGGGACCCACCAGCUACAUCUUCGCACGCAAGAAAAUGCGUCCGGGCAAAAAAAACGAUUCACCCCCCUGACUGUUGGGACGCACCAGCUACAUUUUCGCACGCAAGGAAGUGCCUGACAGUCGGGACCCACCUGGUUGAAGCAUACGUAGCGUUGUCAUUCUGGUCGCGAACGUGUACGUACAUAUAUACUGGUCGAUGUAGAGGCGCACGUGUCAUAGUAGAGGCGCGCACGUAGCAUGUACACGUACGUACAACGGACAGGGUGCAAGAAAAAAAAUACGGCCAUGUACGUACAUACGGGCUGGGUCUCGAACGCCUACUCGCUCAUACGUAUGGCCAGGGCUCAUGUACGCGGCUGGGUCGGAACGGAGAAACUACGUCAUCGUCCUGUUCAUGGGGAGGCAACGGAAUAUGUCGUGUUCAUGGGGAGGCAACGAAAUGCUCGUGUUCAUCGGGGGGCAACAGAACGCGUGGGAGCCAACCGGCUUAGACGGAACAUGCGAUGGAAACGAGGCCUGGCGUACCGCAUAACGGAGGAAAUGGCCUUGUGUUCGACCGGCCACGUUCGAAACGGGAUCCUGUUCAUCGGGAGGGGUCUGGUGUACCACAAAACAGAGGAAACAGACUUGUGUUGGACCUCCUACGGUCGAACUGGGGUCCUGUUGAUCGGGAGGGGUGUGGCUUACCGUAAAAUGGAGGAAACGGACUUGUGUUGGAGCGUUACGGUCGAAACGGGGGUCCUGUUCAUUGGGAGGGGGUGUGGCGUACCGCAAAACGGGACUCCACGGGAUACUGUUCAUCUCCAUCGUCGACCUCCUUCAACCUCCACGGGCUACUGUUCAUCCACCGUCGACCUCCUCUAGCCUCCACCUGCGACUAUUCAUCCACGGGCUCCUGUUCAUCCAUCCUCCACCGCGCGCUACUCCACCGGCUACUGUUCAACCACCCCUCUCCACGGGCUCCUGUUUAACCACCCCUCCACGGGUUACUGUUCAUUCACCCAUCCACCGUCUACUGUUCAUCCAGCCCUCCACGAGGUCGUUCUGUUCAUCCAGCCCUCCACGGGGUCCUGUUCAUCCAGCCCCAACCGGCUUGAUUGAUCGGGGUCCUAUUCAUCCAGAGGCAAUGCCACGGGGUCCUAUUCAUCCACCCCCACCGCUCACUAUUCAUCCACCCCCCGGCAACGCUCACUGUUCAUCUAGAGGCAGCAUCGAUCGGCUUCAGUUAGCAGUAGCGAAGGAAUCGCUCGAUCGCUCGGGUUCAGUAAUGUGUAGCCUGCAGUGCAAUCGCUCGGGUUCAGUUAGAGCCCAACGCCUCGCACACACGCGCGCACGUGUACGAGAGAAAAACGCAUCGCUCAGCCCCCGACCACCCACCGUAACCGGGAACUCCUCGAAAUUUUCCUUGCCCUCGCUUCUACCACGGUUUUUUCCGUCAUGGACGGCCCAAAGAAUGUCAUGCAGCUGCGUCUCCGGCCUGCCCAGGACGAAAAGCCCAUUUUCUAUCAUGAUUUUUUGUCAUAGAAGUAGGAGCCCACCACAUCUAUGAUGAUACCGGGUUUUGUCACAAUUAUCAUCAUAGAAGUGUCAUAAGUAUGACAAAAAAAAUUGUUCGGCCCAAAAUGUCACGGAUGUGUCUUUUUUUUGUAGUGUAUGCACGGUUUGGAGAGUCCAUGCACCCCCCCUCCCCCCUCUUUCACAGUUUAAGUAUCUACGGGUGCAUUUGUUUGAGUUUCCAUAUCAAUGGGAUACAAUAGUUUACCUCACUGCAAUUGGUCAUUUGUUUUUACCGAGGCUGAAGGUUUCAGCCAUAUCAGCUGGCAUAGCACUCCCAGCUGAAAUUCAAGGGCUUGCUCUCUAGAUUUACAGUGCAAUCCCACACAAAGCUUCCCAUCAGAUAUAACUGGCUUGAUCAACUUGUUUCACUUGGUACUACCGUAUGGCACUGUGCUGCCUGAAGGAAUCCAGACUAUGAAAUCAAUCGGCACCCUGCAUUGUUCGGGCAUCUCGGAUAGUGCGCUAGAGAAUAUAAUAGGCCUUAGCGAGCUGACCAAUCCGAAGGAAUUGACCUUGAGGAUGCUUUACCGCCAAUGCUUGACAAUAGAACAAGUGGAUGCUUUGGUCUCCUCCGUUGGAAUGCUCGGAGGCCUAAGGAGCCUCUCCCUCAAAUGUCAUCUUGAAUGGGAUGGUAAUGGCAGGUAGCUGGAGUCAUUACCUGAUCCUCCUCCCGAUCUCGAGGUACUCGAUCUGUCAAUGUGGGAGUUUGGUAGAGUUCCGAAAUGGAUUGGUGAACUACGUUUCCUACGGGUUCUCUCUCUUAACGUCUUGCACCUGUCGAAUGACGAGGUUUGUGUUCUUGGAGAACUUUCGUUCCUCGUCCAUGCCUGGCUCCACGUGUCGAAGGUCUCCCAAGACAAGGUUGUGGUCGGCACGCGGUUAUUCCUUGUUCUGAAGUACUUUGCGAUCCGGUCUGAUGAAGAUGUCACCACGUACCUGAGCUUCGAGGCAGGAGAUAUGCCCAUGCUACAAACGCUCGUUCUGUGAUUCGGCUGAAAAGAGUGGAGAGGUUCUACGCCGGUCGGCAUGGAGUUUCUGACCUGCCGCAGGGACAUCCGAGUGUGGCUCUAACACACCGACAUGGGUCAGGCAAUCGGUAACACAUAAACGCCAAUGUCGAGUCUCCCUUCAAGAAAGCCGCACGGGUGCACCCAAGAGAUCCAUCAGCUUAACAGACACCUGGUUUUCUAAAAAAGAGAUUUAAAAAAGUCAUGAAUUUGGAAAAAGAUCACCAACAUGAAAAACAGUUUGUGAAUUUUAAAAAGUUCAUGAAUUGGAGAAAAUCUUCAUGAAUUUUGGAAAAGUUCAAAAAUACGAUUUUUUUUUGCUAAUUUAGAAAGUUUUCUAAAAAAGAGAUUUAAAAAGUCAUGAAGUUGGAAAAAGAUCACCAACAUGAAAAACAGUUUGUGAAUUUUAAAAAGUUCAUGAAUUGGAGAAAAUCUUCAUGAAUUUUGGAAAAGUUCAAAAAUACGAUUUUUUUNNNNNNNNNNNNNNNNNNNNNNNNNNNNNNNNNNNNNNNNNNNNNNNNNNNNNNNNNNNNNNNNNNNNNNNNNNNNNNNNNNNNNNNNNNNNNNNNNNNNNNNNNNNNNNNNNNNNNNNNNNNNNNNNNNNNNNNNNNNNNNNNNNNNNNNNNNNNNNNNNNNNNNNNNNNNNNNNNNNNNNNNNNNNNNNNNNNUUAGAAAAUGUUCACUAAUUUGAAAAAGAAAAUCAAAAUAUAUUAAAAUGUUCACAAAUUUGGAAAACUUUCAUGAAUUUGUAUAAAUUCUAUGAAUUUUUAAAUGUUCAUGGACUUAAAAAUUCUUCAUGAAUUUGAAAAAACUUGCAGAUUUGAAAUUGUUAACAAAAAAUAAAAAAUAAGCUCAUGAUUUUGAAACAGUUUGCGAUUUCCAAAAAUGUUUAGGAAAUUGAAAAAAAAACCAUGGAAUAUUUUAAAAAGGAAAAGAAGAAUUUUUUUUAAGAUGAAACAAAAACCCCUGACAAAACCAAACAAAAAAUGGUGAAAGAGAAACCACAGAAAACCCAGUGGGAGGAGAGAUAUUGGGCCACAACUCGCUUAGAUGUACCACAACUGGAUCACUACCCGAUCCUCCUCCCCGUCUCGAGGUACUCGAUCUGGCAAUGUGGGAGUUCAGUAUAGCUCCGAAAUGGAUUGGUGAACUACAUUGCCUACGGGUCCUCUCUCUUCAAGUCUUGCACCUGUUGAGUGACGAGUUUUGCGUUCUUGGAGAGCUUCCGUCCAUCUGGUUCGACAUGUUGAAGGUCUCCUAAGACAAGGUCGUGGUCGGCACGCGGUAAUUCCCAAUUCUGGAGUACUUUACGAUCCGGUCUGAUGAAGAUGUCACCUCGUACCUAAGCUUCGAGGCAGGAGGUAUGCCCAUGCUACAAACGCUCAUUCUGCGAUUCGGCUGGAAAGUCGGCAUGGAGUUUCUGACCUGGCUCAGGGACAUCCGUGUGUGGCUCAAACACACCAGCUGUGUGUCAGGCGAAAAUCGGCAACACAUAAGCGCCAAUGUUGAGUCUGCCUUCAAGAAAGCCGCAUGGGUGCACCCAAGACAUCCAUCUGUCUCAGUCACCUUGCUAGCCGGUUAAUUAAUUUAUUUGUCAUCACGUGUAGAAUUUGGAAAUGUUUUGUCUUAGUAAAACUUGCCUGUAUCUCGAACAGUAUGUGUAUUUAUAGUUGUAUAUUUCUCAACAUGUUUAAUUACAAUGGCAACAGAAUAUGCACAUGCUGCGACUAGGAAGCAACAGAAUAUGUAAAUGGCAACAACUUCAAUCACUUGCAGCACCGUCUAUCAGAACCGAAUCAUCACCAGCGAUAAUUAAUUUGCUGGUGAGGUCUGAUGGUCGCUGCAGGGGUGGAACACAUGGAUUCAAAUCAAAACUUUAAGAGUAGGGACCGGAGACGAUCACAUCAGACAUAAACUGGUACAUGGAGCUCCCAACUCAACUAAUCCAAAGCUCAAAGGAGUUAAUUUCUGCUUCCCAAACAAACAGAGACAGAUGGAAAAAAAAUGUUACAUGCAGCUUAAGAGAUAGUAACAAUCUCGAUUUCACCUUGAAAUUAGCAAAACCUUCUCAGGAAUAUCAACAACAGCUCAUAUAUCCUAGUAAAAGCUUGGAACAGUGUAUGCAUCUAUCAUUUUGGGGUUAAGAACGAAAAAUAUAUCAACAACAGCCAUUGUCCUAAAAUAGUUCAGGAAAGUGCAUCUUAGGCAUUACAUUAGAAAAAUAUCAACGGCAGUGUCCUAAAAAUGUCAGCUAGUUAGAACUGAAUAUUAGGAACCAUGUUAUGCUCUGCUAUGCAAGGAGGCUGCAAUCUAAAUAGGAAUCAAGUCACAGAACCAAUAAAAUUAUCGCCAUUAAUAACUUAUAGAGAAUGUGUUGUAUUCUACUACAAGUUACACCAAAUUAAGAAAUAUGUAUGGUAUGUAAAGGAUCACCGAUCCUCGCUACCACAUUUGAGUAAGCCGGAGCCUAGCUUCAAAUAUUGACACCACCAAUUAAAAUUCAGAUGAAAAGUAAGAUCGCCGAACUCACUAAAUCAUGCGUAUUUAAGUUAAGGCACUCUCCAAGUUCGUGCCCAAGGAUAUCUAUCUCCAGGUCCACAUCUAAGUAAGAUCUUGCAAAUAGAAAAACUAUGCUCUUCAAAUCUCCUGUGACGAUUACUUACGCAGCAACUUUCCUGUGGCAGCAUUUAAAACAGUAUUUUUAUUUGUAUAAGUAUGUACUCCCGACUAACCUGCCUGGAAACAACUGAAAAUACAAGGGGCAAAUUAAGCAACACCAUGGAAAUCGGUUACCAGAUCACAAACAGCCGCAAUCUGACAACCAAAACACAAGCUUGCCAAUAUAAAGGAGCAGUGAUGAAGAAUGCGUAAACAUGAUGGCAAGCAGAAAACAGGCCCGCAUAAAGAGAGGCAAAAUAUAACCAGGGCGCAAAUUGUGUUCACAUGAUAUUGCUCCAGUAUAGUUUACAAACAAUUGGAUGGAACCCCCUACAAUUCUGCAGCUAUGAACAGCUAACUGUAAGGCGUGAAUUUAACUAAUGACAUGAAGCAAUGAUACAAACAGAAGCAGGUGCAGAUUUCAGUAACCAAAACAACCAGUGACCGGAAGAAAUGUAUCUUAAUCACAUUAGAAUAGAUGGACUUCUUACUAACAAAAGAAUAUCUACCAGAUAAAUUGAGGAGCAAUUCUCAAAGUGCAGGCAAAUCCCAGUCCUAAAAUCUGAACACAUGAGAGAAUGAAACUGACAACACAUAUUUUGCACAACCAUGAUUCAGGAAAAUAUAAUUAGACUUUAGGGUUCAGGAAUAAAAUUACCCGGAAAACACAUAGAUCUUCUCUAAGGAAUGACAAUAUCAAUAUAUCAGAGUUCAGAAAUAAAAUUAACAGUUUCAUAGGAUUUAGCACUUAGAAAUGACCAAACUGGCAUGUAACAGCAUACUAGAAAAAACAGCCAACAUGUAGUCUGGCAAACAACACCAAAACAAGGAAGUACCCAGCUUAUCAGACAGAGUGAAAACUUUGUUGCGCCAUACACAGUAACCAAUUUCCUUGGCCCGUUUUCGGUUCAAGUAAAUCUGAAAUUAGUUGGCACUUCCCCUUUGCAAGCAGUUGCAUAGUCUUCAGCGAGGUGUGGUGCAGCUUCCUUGUGAGGGCAUA